RNAcentral lists this long non-coding RNA (47928 nucleotides) under Olea europaea (common olive). Its description in RNAcentral is "long non-coding RNA (OEUR_LNC000323)". The record is from RNAcentral. Lineage: Eukaryota; Viridiplantae; Streptophyta; Magnoliopsida; Lamiales; Oleaceae.
AGUAAUAUCACGAGCUCGUCCAUGCUGCUGCUCUAAACUGUAUUGUGCAGCACCGUUAGAUGGGACAUCUUUUACUAAUGAAUGAACCCAAGAUACAUCUGGCUCAUCUACAUUUGGUGGAGCCAUUGCUGUUGAUAACGCAGCAUUACCACUUCGAAUACCAAAAGAGGACGACUUCCUAAACUUGUUUGAAUCCUCGCUGUUAAAGCCCCAGUCGAGUUUGCCAUCAGGGGAGCUCCAAUCUGACAGUUUAGAGGGCAUCAAACUUGGGGAAUUAGCAGCACCAGAAAGGCAGGACCGAUGGCCAACUCCACCACUACGGUCAAUAAAGCUCUGGCUGCGUUUUGCAAAAGAAGAUCUCGAGUUCAUUACAGCUGCUGCCACUGCUGCAGACGAGUCAUACCCAAAACUGGAAGGCUUCCUUGCUGGCGAGGAUGACAAGUUGGAAGGGUAGCUUGCAUGGAAUUGGCUUGUGUUUUGAUGAACCUGAAUCCCAUUUGGAGCCUGCAAUUGAGAUAAUAAUGAAGGAUCAAGCGAUCCAUAAAUAUUAUCAAGAUUAGUGGGCUUCAAAUCUGUAAUUUUGCUGUAUGGGGAUGAGAGAUUAGCCAUCUCAUCAGCCAACUGCCGCCUUUGUUGGUAUUGGGUUUGGAUUUUUUCCAAUCCAAGCAAAUCCAUAUCUCUUGCGCUCAGAAUCGUCUUGAGUCUGCUUCCUGGCAGCUGCAGAGCAGGAGGUGUGAGAUUUGCCUUGUGCUGCCGCACGCUUCCACCCAUGGGAGACGAACAUGUAACCGAUGGUGAUAUUGGUGGUGUUGAAGUAUUAGGGUAUAUCAAAGAAGACGAGCCAAGAGACAAAGGGCUCGGUGUUGUCAAGUCCAUUGAAUUAACCGAAACAGACUUUGGCGAAGGCAAAGCUGAACCUGUAGAGGCAUACAGAGGACGCAACUCUUCAGGCUUAUGUGCAAAAAAGCACACUUUCCUUGGGCAUCCAGUCUCGUCCUUGCAAAGACGGGUUCUGUAUUGGGCAGGAUGUAACCACGACUCAAAAACACCGUGAGCAUAUUCACAGGAAUCACCCUUUGCACACGUUCCCUUCUUAAACUCAGGGCAGGGGACACAAGUGUAGUGAUGCUUCCUUGGAUCACGCCUCCUCGCAUUCUCACCAGGAUGAACAAAAGGGCAUUCUGUCCAAUCAUGAGAAUAAGCUCUCGAGCACGUCUUCACCUUGAAACUAUACAUCCUAAACUCAUCAGUUCCAUAUACCCCGUUGUUAAUAUCUGGCAACGACACAUCAAUUGGAUAUUCUUUCUUCUCAUUCCCUCCUUCUUUUGCUACCAGGGGUCGUUUAAUUCCUUUUUCUUCUUCUUGAUCACCGGCCUCGACGCUAAUUCCUUUCAACAGCAUCUCCAAGGUUCUCCUCUUAGAAUUGUUUAAGAACUUCAUAUGCGGUGAAAUUAGGUCACCAGGUUUCUUCCCAUUGGCAUCAACAGCAUUGACAUCGGCUGAAGCAUCGAUUAAGAGCUUCACAACCUCAAUCAAUGAAUCCGAACCCCCUGCCACAGCACAAUGAAGAGCAGUAACCCCAUCUGAACCACAUGCUCUAUUGACAUCAACCUUUUGAGACCCGAUAGCAUACUUCAAAACCUCGAUGCUUCCAUACAAGGAAGCAAUCAUAAGAGAUGUUCUCUCUUCAAACCCCAUCUUCUUUGAACUAAAGCUUCUGCCAUACCAAAUGCUCACCUCAUCAAAAUUAGAACCCUUCUCUUCUACUAGAGAAAUAAAGCUUGCCAAAUCGUCCAUGGCUGCCAGUGCAAGCAACUUUGAGCAACUUUUAAACCCAGCCCUUCUCUUAUUUUCUUGAAUUUCAGCCUCCAUUUUCAUAUCAAAAGGGUAAAAGACACCAAACCCUGAAGACAAAUCAAAGAACAAACAAACUUAGGAAUCUCAUAUUAGUCAUAAACUUCAUCUCAUUAUAUAUAAUUAAAUUCUGAAUAGAAUCAUAAUUGUAUUUAUUUAAUAAAUUCAAACCAACAAUACAGUUGUUAUUACCGAGUCUCCCCUAAAAAAGAAUUCAUUUCCUUGGAAAACAAUGAAACAUUCCACCAUACAGGCGGUGUCAUCUUAGGUACUCUUACGACAAAGUCUUGUAAACUUUAAAACAAGAAAAUUAAAUACAAGAUAUGUUCGAUCCAUUCAAUUCAAUCUUUGACAUUUACAACUGCCAACCAACUAUAAAAUGAAUAUUACUCAGCAAAAGACCAUGAAAAAUGGAAAAGAAAAAUAAGAAAAACAAGAAGCAUAAAGUAUUUGGUCAAUGAAUGCUUACCUUGAAUAAGGUGUACGAGAUUUCUUCAAUUCAAAGAUGUUCAAUAAAAAUUUAUGAAGUAAACGAACUAGUCCGUGUUAUGGUAUUGUGAAAUGCUGAGACUUUGGAGGGUAUAUAUAUGUGUGCAUUUCUUGAAAAAAAUUCUCACAUAACCGUGUGGGUAGGAAAGAAGAAGGAAAGUGGGAGUUUUCUUCUUGCUCUCUUGACCUUUUUCAGAAAAAAACUGCAUCGUUAGUCACUAAUAUAUUAUCCAAGUAACAAAUUGAUCCCCGACGUAUAAAAAGGAAGCAAGUAUAUUCUUAAAAUUAAGACUGAACAAAACUCCUGAAAUGAACCCAACCGAACUCGAACCAAACUUAAAAUAAUCAAGUAAUUCUUAUUAAAAGUUAGAUACACGAAUAAGUAUCUAAAUCAAGAAUCGACGGGUUUGAUUUGAUCUUUAGUUCUAAAUCAAGAACCGAAUAAAAAUCGAAUCUCCCUAAUUUUUUUAAUUAAUUUUUUUAAAUAAGUGAAAUUAUUUUUCCUAAAUAAAUUUGUUAACUACUUAAUUUAGCUCAAACUCAAAAACAUGAUUUUUUUUAUUUCUAAUUUUUAAUCUAAGCCAAUUUAAUCAAAUUGACCUAAAUUUUACUCAAAUCUACUAUUCUACGGUAGUGUCAUUUCUAUCAUUCUGGAGAAAUCGAAUUGAAACUCGACAAUGUCUCUCUUAAUUAUUGUGAUCUUGCUAUUUUCUUCUUUCUAUAAUUUUAACAAUAAAAUUUAUGAAGAAUUUAGCAAUAUGCAAAAGACACAUGAGAUUGACUACAUUAUUUUGUAAGAAUUAAGAUUAAAUAUGUCAUUGUUAAAUUAAUGUAACUUUGUAAGUAUUAAAAAAAUUUAAUUAUAGUAUAGAACUCAAGAAUUGAAAUGGAAUCGAAUCGAAUGGAACCUAACUUGAACGGUUCCAUAAUUAAAUUUGGACCUGACGAUUUCACUUACUAAAAUAGCCAGAAAUUUUGAGUCCAAUUCGAAUCUCGUUAGAAUCGAAUUAAACCGAACCAUGCCUAGCCCCUACUUACAAUUCAAUGGUAAUUUUAUAAUAGUCAUAAUCUAAUGUUGUUAUUUUGUUUAUAAAAUAUUUAUUAUCGGUCAAAACACUUUUUAUUCAUAUAUUUUUUGGGAUAAAAAAUGCUAACAAUUUUUCCAUUGCUCUUAUCUAUUUAUUUAUAAUUUGAAAUAUUUAUAAAAAUUUCCAAACAUGGUUAAUGGUAACAGUGACUCACUAUCACAAUGAGUGGUAAGCAUACGUACUAUUUAUAAUCAGAAUUAUACCAAGGCCAUGUUUGAUUGGCCCUUUUUUCAUGAAUAAUGGAAUUCAAAUUUCAUUUUUCACCAAUUUUGUGUGUUCGAUAAUAAAAGUUUUUCAUGGAAUCCAUUUUCCAUCUUUUCCCCACACGUGCAUUUUCCAUGAUUUGGUAGAAAAUAAAUUCUGUCCAAAACGGUGAAAUUGAUUUUCCAGCUUUUUUCAGUAAUGGAAACAAAUUUUAUUAAUAAUUGUAAAAAAAAAAAAUGUAUCCUUCAAAUUGACAAUUUUCAUAAAAAACAAAACAAAACGAACACCAAAAUAUAAAAUGAUUUUUGGAUCUUUUUUAAAUUUUUUGCAAUAGAAACAAAUUUUAGGAACAACUGUAGAAGUGGAUAUUCCUUAAAUUGACAAUUUUCAUGAAUAACAAAGUCAAACGAACACUAAAAGACACUUUUAUAUUAAUAUUUUUCAGGUGAGAAAUUAUAUAGAUCAAACACUAUUAAUUAUCAAUUCCCACUAAAAUAAAUUCUAGACAAUUCAAUUUCUUCAUUUCAUUUUUUUCACCCAAAUUCCUUCUUUGCAAUCGAACAUGCCCUAAAAUUAAUUAUUAAACUAUCUUUUGACUCUUGAAAAUAUUUUUUACUUCAAAUUUUUAAACUCCCACCCAAGUUAAAAAGCGAGACCCAACAUUAUAAAUUAUAAAAGUGAAAGUUACAUGGAGAUUUACUAGAAAUUUGGACAUCGUCAUUUUUAAGGAUUGAUUGUAUUACUAAUGGGAAAAAUUGAGAAUCAUUUUGUCCUUUAGUUUAGAGACUAACUCGCUAAUGGGGUAGUAAAUUGGGACUCAAAAUGAAAAUUUACAAUAUUCCUUGAAGGCUUCAACUUUUUGUUACUUCAGUCAAAGUCAAACCUUCAAAGCAGGUCCACCCUGUCGUACUGGUUCUAGCUUAUGCCAUAGAAAAUGCAAAUGCAGAUGAAAUAUAAAUUUAAAUGUAAACUCAAAUGAAGCACUGGGGAACCGCAGUGGGUCCCACUUAACUUUUUCAAAUUCUCUAGUAACAAAACCGGACAACCGGUUUUCCUGUCACGCGGAGGUUCACUGUUGGAAUUUGAAUUCCGUCUGUCACCAGUCGGCGCGUGCACAACAGUUUAUUUGUUAUUAUUUAUAGCAUCACAGCUUAUUUGAACUUAAUUUGACAAACAUGUAUAGAUUUUUAAUUAUUUGCUAUUUGUAGCAUCACAGUUUAUUUGAACUGAUCAUCAUACCUUUUUCAUAGUAGAGAUGACAAAAAAAUCUGUUCAACUCGAUACUCAUGUGACUUGCCUCGACUGUGUCGAGAAUUACCAUCUAACCAGAUAAGCAGGAGAAAAUAGGGCAGGCACGAGAUUGGAGACAUUCUCCUGAAUCGGGUAUGGAGUGAGUAUGAAAAUCAUAGUUCUUGUCCCACUACCCGUCCCGUUUAAAGUUAAUUUCAAACUAAAUAUUUUUAUCAAACAAAAAUAACAUAUUUAUCAUUAUUUUUAAAGAGAAAGUGAGUUAUUUUUAACAAAUUGGAAAAAAAUAUUUAUUAACUAAAGACAUAAAAAAUAAAAGUACAAAAUAAAAUAAAUAAAUAAAUAACAUAAAAAUAAAAAUAAACAAGUCCGUCCAGUCAUACUGUAAUUGUGUUUAGGGAUGGGGAAGGUGACAAAAAUAGUUUAUGGGAUGGGAGUGGGAAUGGUCAACUCGUCUCAUUUCACGUUUGUCAUCUCUAAUUCAUUGUAAUACUUAUAUCUAACUUUUUUUCAUCCAAAUAUUAUAUUUAAUGUUUCAUUAAUUAGUGCAUGUCCUCCUUAAUGGUAGUUUUUGUGCAUACUUUGUUUGUGUGAGGAAAAUAUAUUUGAAGCUUUUUAUAUUUAUUUUCUUAAAAAUGAUGAAAAAAUAAGGCAUUUUACACUUUUCAAACGAUUUUUUUGAUGAAAAUUGUUAAAGGAGACAAGAUCAGAUAAUCAAUGAAAAAUUCAAGCUAUUAAGUGCAAUUAAAAUAUAACACAACAAUGUUAAUAUAAUUAAUUUUUUAAUUAAAUGCUACCUAAAUAACAGCUUUAUCAUGCAUCCUUUGUAAAUUAGAAAACAAAAAUGAAAAUAAAAAUACUAAAACAUAAUACAAAAUUUUACGUGAUAUCGAAGUAGUGUUUGUCAAAUUUUUAAAUCCAUGGCCACCUAAUUCUUUACUUAGUAUUAAAAUAGCCAUCGAACUUGAAUUUGUUUUACGAUGGUCAUCAAACUUUAUAAGGUAAAUAGUACUGGAAUUUGGUAACCUUUGAACAUUUUGAUGAUGGAUCAUAAGCCUUUAAUUUCUAGAACUUAGAGUUUCAAAGCUUUUAAAUGUCUAGUUCUGGGGUUCUUUUACGAUAAAAAAAUGUUAGUCUACAUGAAAUUAUAUAUUUUUAUUAUUUAUAUUUAUAUUACGUUCUAUGAAGUUUUCUCGGAUAAAAGAAAAAAGAAAUUUCAAUCGCAAUGGAUACUAAUUAAAUCACGCAUGCAUUCCUAACAAUUUUUUAUGUUUCAAAAUUACCAAAAAUGGAUAAGAAAUUUAUUUUUAACAACAAAACAAGAAAUAAUAUCAAAAAAUUAUUCAUUAGAAGAUAGCAAUUUGAUUUAUAGAUAUAUAUUUUUACAACAUUGAAAGAGUGGAAUAAAGUAUUUUCUAUAUUUUUAAUAUUUUGCUAACAUAUAAAGCCCCGGUUGUGUAUUGAUUUUUCACUCUAAAAAAUUAAUUUUUUUACUGUUAUUUUAUUAUUUCGGUCGUCAUUUUUUACUUUUCACUUACAAGUGACUCUCACUUUUCUCUCGUCACUUUUCUCUCUACGGUCAAAAAAUCAGUUUUCAUAAUUACUACAGAACAUAUCCAAAGAUUAAUUUUUAUAGUAUUGUAUAAUAAUUUAUUUAUUUAUUUUCCCCUUUGCACAACAAAAGCUCGAGCUCUACAACAUUUUUCUUCCUCUUUUACACACGCGCGCACACACAAAUCACGUGGAGGAUGUGCGCGUAGGAGGAAUUGUAGGGUUUACCGGUUGAAUAUUUCAAGCCGGUAUCACGCUUUACGCGCUCUCUGGGUAACACGCUAUUUAGCACACGUUUGUGCCAGCUGCAGCGUCACCUCUCAGUCUUCCACCACGGGCUUGGACUUUGUUUAGUGAGAAGCAAAUUGCCACGUUUUCAAUAUUUUCAUUAUGAAGCUUUGAGAAAUAUAUUUAUUUAUUAUUACUAAAUUUUUUGCAAUUGAAACCGGAAUCAACCCGAAGUCAAAAUAAUUUGUUUUGGCUAUCGAACCAACUAUGCCGGUCCAAUUUUCAAAACAUUGAAGGAUAAAAGCAGAUAUAUUGGCCUUUUGUUGUUGACGAAGUAGAUUUUCUCCGUAGGAUCGAUAAUUUACAAUUGAACGUACUCAAGUGUCUGUUUGACACCCUUUAAUUUGUUUUAUGACUUACUACAAGAUCAUUUUCAAUCACAACAUUCACACAUUAAAUAUUCUACACGAAAUAAUCAUCAUUUAACCAAUACAUCAAAUUUCAUUGCCUGAGAAAAGGAUGCCAUAGAUUAACAACAGUUUAUAACCCCCUAAUUAAAUAUAAUUAAAGAUCACGAACAUCCAAAGAUCAACUUCUUAUCACCAACCCAGCACAACGAGAAAAAAUAAAAAUAAUAAUAAUAAAUGAGUUACAAGCUCCAUCUCUGACCAGUAUGAGAAAGCACUUUCCUCCUGUCAAUAUUUUUGACAUUGCCCAAUUAGAAGCAUUUUCUGUGCACAAUUGAUGGCCCGGACUCAUCGUAUUCAGCCUUUGCAAUCCACAUCUACAAAAGAGAUAAGAAAACAACUCAUUUAGAAACUGUAUGUUAAGUAUCGUAUAUGAAUAGAAAAUGCCUUGAGCCAAUGUUCGAACCUGCUGGAAGGUGCUGAGGGAUGCCAAGAUGGAGCCUCCUAUCCAUACACUGUAUUUCCUUUCAGGAGGUGCAACCACCUUAAUCUUCAUGCUACUUGGAGCUAGUGCUGUAAUUUCCUUGCUCAUUCUGUCAGCAAUACCUGGAAACAUGGUCGAACCGCCACUAAGUACAAUAUUACCGUAUAGGUCCUUCCUAAUAUCCACAUCACACUUCAUGAUGGAGUUGUAUGUGGUUUCGUGAAUGCCUGCUGCUUCCAUUCCGAUCAUUGAAGGCUGGUAAAGAACCUCAGGACAUCGAAAACGCUCAGCGCCAAUGGUAAUAACCUGCCCAUCAGGCAACUCGUAGCUCUUCUCCACAGAAGAGCUAGUUUUUGAAGUCUCAAGCUCCUGCUCAUAGUCAAGGGCAAUGUAAGCUAACUUUUCUUUCAUGUCUCUCACAAUUUCCCGCUCUGCAGAGGUGGUGAAAGAGUAACCACGCUCUGUGAGGAUUUUCAUCAAGUGAUCAGUAAGGUCACGACCAGCCAAGUCGAGACGAAGGAUGGCAUGAGGGAGGGCAUACCCCUCGUAGAUGGGAACAGUGUGGCUGACACCGUCACCAGAAUCCAGCACAAUACCUAAGCAGGAAACAUGAUAGCACAUCAUCACCCAUAAUUAGGCAUAAAAUUCAGCACCUCAAGCACAUAAGAAGCAACAAUUCAAUUAACACAGGUUUCUGAGAAAAUCAAAUAACAUUUAUAAAUAGGUUCUCAAAUAAAACAUUUUGAUUUCUGAAAAGCGGGCUGGGAAAUAUGGGUCUGAUCAAGUUGAAGACACAUAUACUCUUAAACUGAGACUCGCUUUCUGAAGAAAGUAUCGGAAAGGCCAUUACUGAAAUACAAGACAUCAAGGCACAUAAACUGUUUUGGGAUUAGUGAUAAUUUAAUUGAAAUCAGGGGCAUAUCUACUUGUGAUGCCAAUUCUUAUGGAAAGCUUCAAAAUCUGACAACAGAAAUUCAAAUGACUUCAAUACCUUUAUUUCUUGAUAAUUCAAGAUUCUAGUAAAAGUGGUGCCUUAAGGGGCCACAAGCCUGUAUUACCUGAAUAUUCAACAAUUCAACACACACACACAUAUAUAUGGUCAGGCUCAUUGACCCACUUAACUUUUCUUAUCAUACAGAAAUCUUAAUGUAUUGAGCUCAGCUUCUGACCAAUCUCUGAUUUUCUUCUUUGUUCCAUUUUAUAUCAAAUGACUUCAAUAUCAUUAUCAGAAAUUAUAAACUGAUUAAAAUGCAACAGAUGCUUACCGGUUGUACGACCACUAGCAUACAGGGAAAGAACAGCUUGAAUAGCAACAUACAUAGCGGGGGUGUUGAAUGUCUCAAACAUAAUUUGAGUCAUCUUCUCACGGUUAGCCUUGGGGUUGAGAGGCGCUUCAGUCAGAAGAACCGGGUGCUCUUCUGGGGCAACACGGAGCUCAUUGUAGAAAGUGUGAUGCCAUAUCUUCUCCAUGUCAUCCCAAUUGCUCACAAUUCCAUGCUCAAUUGGAUAUUUUAGGGUUAAAAUACCACGUUUUGACUGAGCUUCAUCUCCAACAUAUGCAUCUUUUUGUCCCAUGCCUACCAUCACACCAGUGUGACGGGGGCGACCAACAAUGCUAGGGAACACAGCUCUUGGAGCAUCAUCACCAGCAAAUCCGGCCUACAAGGAACACAAAAGUUUCUAUCAAACUCAACAAAGAGAAACAGGGUAAUUUUGGCAGCAAAAAAGGAACAGCUAUAUUUGCAACACUGAGGAUAAAGAAACUUCAGAUUAUACCUUAACCAUUCCUGUGCCAUUGUCGCACACAAGUGGCUGAAUAUCCUCUGCAUCUGCCAUCUUAUACUACUUCCUAAAUGAAAAACCACAGCUUUAAUAAGUGAAGAAUUGACUAUCCUUUCACUGAUUUUUUGAUAAUUUAAUUUCAUAAUAAAAGUGUAUCUUGGAUUCUUGGGGAUUUAACUUCCAAAUGUAGAUUAUAGUCACGUGUGAUGUACAAAAUAGCAGUCCAGAACAAAAUUGAUUAAAAGGAGCACCAUCUUAUCUAAAUGAUACAAAUAUAAGCAGAUGUCAACUAUCAGAUAUGCCUCAUUUCUCUCCUCAAAUUUUGCAACAAAAUGCAAUGUUGACAUAUGAAACUUUUUGUGUCCACCGCAACAAACUUGGGGAAAAUAAUCAGAAAUGGUUAAAUCGAUGCACAUAAAAACCUGAUUGACACAAAAACAAUCAAGAACGAUGUAUAUUUGCAGAACCUCCUUUGUGAAUGAAUCUUACCAAGCAAAAAUUAACCAUGCACAAUUAAGACCUAAGUUGCACAAACACGCCAACAUGUGAUUUUUCUAAAAGUAGGACAUGGAACACCAAGGACACAUCAAUUUAAAUUCAUAAAUUAUAUCUUUGUUUUUAACUUCUAACAUAAAACAAGCCAACACGGCACAUGGCACAUUGAACACUUUCUUGAGAGGUGUCUCUAGAGCAUCUCUGGAUGUCUUUAACAAAGUAAAGUGUAUAAAAAUUGGGACAAGGACACGUGAUUUGUUGGAUACAUGAAGUGUCAGAGGAUUAGAAGGAGUCUCCAUGCAUCAUAGUUGAGGACCCUUGGAAAUAAAUCCAUUGCUACAUGGAUCGAUUGAUCCCUUUAACCAUGAGAAGAUAAGGAGAAAAGUAUUAUCUAAAUACUAAUAUAUGUGCCAGUCUUCUUCCCUUUCGUUGAUACAGAUAGAAUUAUAAUUGUAAGAUUUGGAAAAAUUAGACCACCAAAAUCAAAUUCUCAAUAACACACAGCGAAGAAUCAAGGAAUAGGAAAGAUCUAUAAUAGCCAUUAAAAAUCCAACAUAAAUCAACCAUCACUGAUUAAGAUAUAGUGAUUGAGAUAACCAAUGCUAGAAUAAAUUCUUAAUCGACAAUUACAGAUAUAGUGAACACCAUGAUUAACUUCACUUGGAGUACACAAGAAAUGUAAUUUGUCAUCACAACCAUUAUAUCUUAAACAAGGAUCCUGAUUUAUGUUGGAUUUUCAAUGUUGGAGUAUACAAGAAAUGUGAUACGGUCUGUAGCAUUACCUCCUCGAAUAAUUUGAAGUAGAGAAAAGAAUUUCAAAACCAUACCAAAAAUAUACUAAUUCAAUGUACUUUUACAUAAUUAAGGUUAACAAUCAAGGAAAAUGCCGCUCAAAACACAUGCCAAAUGACGUGCUGAUCCCACGACAUCGUAAACUCAUAAAUCGAACAAAAACCCAAAAAUCAUAGCGGAAAAUACAAAAUUAUAAACAACACGAACAUGGGUUAUCCAGCUGAAGUCAAUUUAUGUGCAGAUCAACAGUGGCAUUGAACAAAAAACACAUAAGAAACCAAAAGAAACAGGAAACAAUGGGGAAUGAGUGAGCAAAUACCUGAAUUAGUAAAUGAAUGAAGAGAUGUGUGAAAGAAAAUAUAAAUGAAAAGGAAAAGGUAGAUUUAAAGGGAGAAAAGAAUGGAAGAGAGAAUCUGUUGGCGAAGGAUGAGGAGAGGACGAAGGAGAGAUCAGUGACGCGGGUAGUGAAAUUGAAUGGGUUUCAAAAUCGCCCAAAUUGAGAGGGUUAUAUGAAGAGGAGAGUGGACAGAUCUCAACUGUUGGAUUCUCCUCCAAUUCCUACGCUCUGGAUGCGCGGAGCCAGAAUCAUCACUAACCGGAAACAAAUUUGAGAAAAUAUUGAAUUAUAAUUUUCGAAUAUUAGGCCUAUAUAUAUAUAACCGAAAACAGUGAUUUGAUAUCAUUUCAACCACACAUUUUUCAAAAAAAUAAUAUUACACGCAAAUUCAAAAUUUUUCUUUAUUUUUUAACCAUGCAUUUUUUCAUCAAUACCUAUUUAAAAAUACAUUCUUGUGAAAAUAAUAUGGCUCAAAUAAAGGCUAGAAAAGAUUCUUGAUGCCUUUCGAAGCACUUUUAAAUUUGCUAAAUCGUUGGAACAAUAAGCUCAUAAACGAGUUAAAAAUGGUUGUAUGGAAUGAGUAUAAUAAAUUUAACUUGUGAUCGUCAUCUCUUUUGAAUUAUUUUUUAGGUAUAUUUUUCGACUAUCGACAUAAGUUCUAGAACUGAAUUUGUGAAUUUAGAAACUGAUAUUUUUCGAGGUAUAUAUAUCACAAACUUUCAAGUUGAUGCAUUUAUUUGUAUAAAUAUUUAUUUUUAUUUUGAACUGAAUUUGUGAAUUGAGAAUAUGAUAUUCUUAGCUGGACUUUUGUAUUGUAGUUUUUAUGUUGAAAAAAUUCCUCGCUGAAAAAAAUAAUAAUAAAUAAAUAAAUAAAUAAAUAAUAAUAAUAAUAAUAAUUAAAAAAAUUGAAAGCCCUCUGUUGAUUAAUCCUAGAUCUGCCCAUGUCUAUACUUUAAAUUGUUUUAAAACAGUCAUUUUACUUUCAAAGUAAAAUUUAAAAUAUUUUGGAUAGUUACUAUAAUAUCAAGGUUAUUUUCUAGAAUUCGUACUUCCAAAGUUGUUGAUCCUAUAGUCACGGAAAUUCUAUUUUGGAUUACUAAUUUCAAAGUAGUUUUUCAAUGAUCAUUGUAUUUUUAACAUUGUUACUCUUCCUUCACUUUGCAUUGUUUAAAUAAUUAAAACUAUUUGCCACAUCGUUGAAAUAGUUAAUUUUCAAACAAAAUAGACAGUGACAGAUGAGAAACAAUGUUGAAAUUACAUUGACUAUUCCGAAUCCUAAAGUUCAAUGUUUAUUUGUAAACAACAUUAUAAGUAGAGGGUAAAAUUGUUCGAACAUAACCGACGUGACCCUAUUCGUCUAGCACAGUUCAAAAGUAAAUUAGUCAUUGAAAUUUUCAACCCUAAAAAUUAACUUUUGGGUGGCUUAUUUAAUGAUAUUACUUUUUAAUUACUUUCGUAAAAUGAGUAAAUUUUAAAUUCCUUUGUUACUAUUCAAAUUUUCUUACACAUUCAGAAAAGGGAAAAUUGCAGUCGAAGUACCAAACCUUUCGUUUAUUAGCAGACUUUGUCCAAACCUUUGAUUUGUGCCACCGUGAGUACCAAACCUUUAAAAAAUAUGCAGCUCAAAUCCAAAAUGACGAUUUCCGUUUGUUUGACCUCAAAAUUCGUCUGUUGACCCCAAAAUCUUUCAGUUGACCUCAGAAAUUAAAAAUUUAAUAAUUUGACCAUAUUAUGUUAUUUUUGUCUAAAACUGCAUGUAUUUUGAUUUUGCUAUACUAUGUAUUUGAUAUGUUAAGAGUUAAUGAGAUUAAGCAUAUGUUUGGUGACUGUUUAUAAAUUAAUAGAAAUAAGUGAUAAAUAAGUAGGUACUACACCGUGAAGAGGGUGUGGCUCAAUUUGUGGGGGGCGUGACCUUUUUUCUACUUGUUAAUUUUCACGUUAUAAUAUUUCGUGUUGGGAGAAAUUUUCAUAGUUAAAUUAGAACCCUCACUAGAUCCGAGUUCUGGCUCCAUCACUGAUAGUACUAGUAGAUAAAAAGUGAUUUGGCUCUUAGCAAGUGAUUAUAAACAAAUGCAUUUGCCAAACAUACUCUGAGCAAGAGACAUGCAAUGUAUUUAGUUGUUAUUGUGUCUAUUUAGUACAUAGGACUCAAUAAAGUUAAACAAGAUAACGAACAAUAAUGUCACAUCUUCCUUUCCUAAUCGUAUUCGUAUCAACUUGCGUUCAAUCCAACAUAUCAUGCACACCCCUCAUAGGAUGUUUGAUAAAGUAAAUUGUAAAGUAAUAGAGACUACUAAGGAAUAAAUUAUUGACAUCUUAUCGUUCGGUCUCAUUUAACGUUGUGUAAUAAACGUGCUUCUGCUCUUCUACUUCAAAAAAAGUAAUGUUAUUUAGCUCCAAUGGAAUUACAACUCUAGUUUAGGUAGCGCAAAUAUGGCAUUAAAUGAUAUUUGAAAUUAAAUAAGUCAUUUAAUUUUACAUUUUAUUUAACUUAUCAUCUAAUUCCACCUAAAUUGGGAUUGUAACCCCAAUGGGUCUACAUAACAUUAUUCCUUCAAAAAUGCUUUGGAAACUAUGAUUUGUGACAUUAAUGAAAAGAGCAAUGCUAUUCAUAAAGAGGAAUAUCGAUAGUCAUGAUUAUGUGUCAUAUAUUUAAUCACCUAAUCAUUCAUAGCGAAUAAUAUUAAUUAAAAAAAUUAAAGAAUUAAAUAUAUACCACAUAAGAUGAUAAUGAAACCUCAAUUUUAUCCUUGCAAAAGUACAUAUAUGUAAAACUUUGUGAACCCUUUAAGGAAAAGAGUAGUCAGAAUGACAGAAUCCAACUGUUAUGUAAUUCCCCAUGUGUAGGUGGGCACCAAGAAAAGAUUGCUUCACAAGUUGUGCAUCAGGUUUCAUGAUUAAAAAUUGUAUUUCUUUCACUUGAAAGACAUGUUCGAUAAAAUGAGAUGUACAAAACUAGAUAGAAUUGAGAAAGUAUAAAUUAAAAACUUAUUUUUCCAUUAUAGAAUUUUGGAGUUUUAACUUAGAAAUUCAACUUUACUAAAAAAAAAAAAAAAGUAAUUUAAAUCCUUACAUAUUAAUUAUUAUUCUCAUAAAUACGGAAUUAAUGUAUAGAGUUUUAUGUGGUAUGAGUCGUGCUUUGUGCUUUACAACCUGUUGCAUGCUGUGACCUUUCUAUCCAAAUCUCAUCUGGAAAGAGUGACAGUGUAACCCCACAAAAGCUUUUGAAGCAUGGAAUUUUAGAGGAUGAAAUCAUGUGCUAUGUACUAAAAAUUAAAGCUUUUUGUCAUAAUAAACAUACAAAGUUGGGUUGUACAAUCAACCAAGCAUAUAUGCUUCCUGCUUUUCUACAUAUAUAGCAUAGUCGUCAUCCUCUAUUUUUUUUCCCUUUUUUUAUUAUUUUUAUUUUUCUUGCAGUACAAUGCUUUUCUCACUAAUAAUUUUAAUUCAUCACCUACUAUUAAUUGCAUUGCCAUCAAGCUUCUUUUUCACUUUUUCGCAAUUUGUUUAGCUUUACAUCCGUCCCAAGGUAUCAUUUCUAAUACGUCGGUGGGACACGCUCGGACACAUUGAAUACAUCCUAUACAUGUAUCAUAAAUCUUUAUUGAAUGUGACAUUGGAUCUAUACAUUUUUUUCCGUCAUAAAUUUUCGAUCUAGUAAACUUAUAAAUGAAUCAUAUAUUUAGAUACCAGACGAAUCAAUGAGUGAUCAGAAUUAAUCUACUUGUGGAUUGGUUUAUGAGAGAGGGCUAAAAUACUUCGAUUUCUUAUGUUUUUGCAACCACGAUCCUACCUGACACGUAACAAACCUGCUAAUUAGAAUUAAUUUCAGAAUAAUUUCUGAAUAUUCGAAUUUCUAUUUAUAUAAUUAAUACUAUUUAUUCAACAAAUUGGAUUGGUUAAUACGAGUUGAUUUUCUAAUCGACCCAUUAAACUAAGUCAUCAAUGAUCAAAAGGUUGAAUCGAUAAUAAAUCGAAAAAACAAUGACAUUUAGGAAGGGAAUUCGUCGAUUUUUGGAUGAAUUGGCGAGUUCGGUGAUUGCAAGUAAGGAAAAGAUUUAGGUAACUUCAAUCUUAAUUGACCUAUUGGACUCUAAAGGAAAGAUAUUAUUUGUAAAGUAGAAACUCGUCAAUUUCCAAGGGAAACUCGAUCUUACUUUAACACAAGGGCUGGCGAAUAUCAUUGACAGUUGCAUCUCUGUUUGUGCAUAUUAGAGGAAGUGCUCUGCUAGGGAAAUCAACUGCACGCUUGGAUUUGGGAUGAAAUCAUGUGCCAUAUCCUUCCAAUCUUUCAAGUGUAAAGACCUUUGUUUAUGGCGUACUUGAUUUGAAUUGUUCCAAAAAUGGAAAUAUCUCUACCCGAGUUUGGACCUAAUACAUAAUAACAACGUGCCUAUCUUCCUCAAUCACGACAAGUUUAACAUACUAAACACAUCAUUUAUGCAUUGAACAAGUCUCAAACACACUUCCUGUUUAUAGGAAACUAGAGUAAUGCUAAUCUGAUCAUCAACUAUUCAGAAUUCCCAUUCCACAGACACAGAUUUAGAAUCUCAUGCACAAUUCAGUAUGUAAAGAUGAUUUAUGACAAACUAGUUCUGAAUGCACAAGCAAUCGAUCAAGUAUUAUCGAGUAACUGAACACUUAAUAAUCAAGAUCACAACAGCAGGAAUUUCUUUGCAUCGACCCAAAUUUCAAGAAAUUGAAAUCCUAUUGCUCAACAUAUUAAAUAAGUCCUAAAAAGAUAUCACCAAAGGAGUGGCACAAUGCCAGGGUUUGCCAUUGUCCAACCUUUCAUGGAAAGCAAACUAACAGAUAAUCUGAUCCAUUAUUAAAGCUCUUGUGAUAAUUGACCUCUUUCGAACUUCGACGAUGCUGCUUAAUUCGUACUCCACAAGAAAUCAAGUGCAUGAUUGCCCGUAAAUCUACAGGAAUGGGGGCAGUAUUACCCAUCGUCGGGGAUAUUUUGGUCUUCCCUCCUUUCCAUCAAAUAGCUGCAAAAGGAGGACAUACAGGUAAGAACAAAAAUUAUGUUAUAAGAUGUUAACAAUAAGCUAUGGUCUAUAUACUUUAAAUGUUUACUGCGUAAAGAAAUGGUUUUUGAUCAUUCUUAAUAAAGUGGAAAACUCGAAAAAAAAAUUCGUAUCAAGUUGUCUGGUCUAGGCCUUUUGGAGAUCAGCUUGCACUUAGGCAAACGAUUUGCUAAGAAGACUCUUAAAUCACACGGUUCUAUUUGAGUUUCAAUGAAUAAGAAAACUGAGUUAUCAAAUCAAGUAUUAAAAGAUAAGACGUGUGUCAAAACGAAUCUUGAACAAUGAGAAUAAAUAUCUCUGCAAAGUGCAGUCACAUGAACCCCCAGGGAAGCCACUCGAGUGACCAUUAUACUAACCUCUACCCAUCAAAUAAGUUUUGAAUGAAGUAGCAAAGAACGCUGACUUACAGAAAACCUAGGCUCAUAUUGACAAAGAAGAAUAUCAUCCCAAGUGGGUCCACAAAGUCUAAGCAAACAAGGGAUAAGUCAUCUGUUUCUUCCUUUUUUAUCAAAAGCAACAAGAAAAAAAUAAUUUACCUUCUUUAGUCGACGGUGCUUCGCGAGAGCCCAGUUUGUCAUUAUGGAGGCAGCAACAACCAUAAAUAUAUAGCCCGCUACAGUCUGUGUAGCAAUGUUGAAGCCUAGCCACUGAUAAAUCUCGGUUGUGUAAUUUGCACACGUGAUAAUGUUGAAUAAAAAGCCAUGUGGAAUUUGGUACCCUCCACCACUAUCAGCACCCCGGAGAUUUCUCAACAAGAUAUGGCAAUAGAAAUUUGCAAUUUGACAAAGCAACCCAAACACAAACCCAAUCUUCAUUUGGAGAUCACUGACUGGUGUGUAAAGUGGGUGGUUGACAUAAUAAGCAAUGUAAGCACCAAAGCUCCAGUAAUAAGCACAGUUCCGAAAGACAUUGGAAAGGGGUGACGUAGCAUGGCUGAAACGGUGCACAAAAAAGGUUUCCAUUAUACGUUUAAAGUAGUGGAAACACCAGUAAUACAAGGCAUACAUCUGGACAGGAUGGAUGACACGCUCCUUUUUGUAGCCGAAAAACUGGUACACAGGGUAGUAAUAGAACAUAGGAUAGAGGAUCAAAGGGCCCAAGUAUUCCCAGAAGAAAAGGGUGCUGUACUUGACUUGGGGACCUAGAUCCUUGAAAACCACAGUCAGUGUGUCUCCAUUCCCAUCUGUGUAUUCUUUGAGACUCUUCUUGUAGUGAAGGACAGUGGGCUUCUCUUUUGAACCCGGCGGAAUAGGCAGGGUCAAUCGCUGUCUAGAGGGAUAGUACUUCUUGGCUGUAGCCAGAAUACAUUAAAUUAUAUUAAAAAGGGCAUAUGCAAUAAAGCAUAACUCGAAUAGAAAGAAAUGAAGAAAAAAAAUACUGUAAAGCAAGAGAAGAGACAAUCGCAGAAGGGCUUUCAAUAACCUUAAGCUUUUGUUCAGUUGACCUAACAAACGAUGCAUUAUUUGAUUGUUUCUGCACCUCCAAGUCAAUUAUCUUGUUAUAACUAAAACAAGCAUACAAAUAAGUUUAGCCCUUGUUUAGGCUCCAUUAAAAUCAAAUUUUGGGGAAAAAUGUAUUUUGGAAUAGUGAUUUUUUGAAGAAUGUGUGGUUAAUAAGGAAAGAAAAGUUUUGAAUUUACGUGUAAUAUUAUUUUAUUAGAGAACAUGUGGUUGAAAAGAAGAGAGAGAAAAAUGUUUUUUGAAUAAAAUGGAGCAAAAACAAGGGCUUAAUAUUCUAGAAGUCCUAAUAUACACUCAUUAGCUACAUGUGUGUACAUAUUCGGGAGCGUGUGUUUCCAUUUCAACUAACAGAAAAUACAAUACGUGAAAGAUUUGAGAAUUACUAGCAAAGAACUACAGAUUAGCAAAAAUCAAAGUCAAAGUUGAAUGACUUAAAAGAUACAUCUGAGCUUAAUACAGAACUAUCCACUGUUGUUCGUUACAAUUCUAAAGACGUGUCCGUACUAAUGUAGCAUUCCAAAUAAAACAGAACAAUCUUCUGCAUUCAUAAGGCAUGCACCUGAAGAUUAUGCUUCUCAACAUAUCCUCAGUGCAUAUUCUUAAUUCACCAGAAAACAAAGAAAAGUGCUCCCCCAUCUACCACACCCCCUCUUAGUACAAAGUUGAUAAAAAGUUGCACCUCAGCUCAACAAUUUCAAAUACAAAUAUAAAAUCUACCCUCCACCUGCUAUCAUAUAGUUUACAAUGGCUUUAUUUAUGCAUGCGUGACUUAUUCUCAAUUUUCUAUUGCUAACUUUGAAUGUGUAAAUUUCGUUCGCAUCAUGCGUGACUUAUUCCCUAUGCAUGCAAAAUUUGUUAAACAACCUGAGAUGAAGAUCGGUGCUUAAGAAAGAACCAGAGGAACUAAAAUAUCUGCUAAGAAAGUCCAAUUGAUGGAAGAAAUUUUUUCUUAUCAUUUCUACAUGACUGUAUCAGUCUGGUGGAUAGUGGAUAUCCUCUGUCCUAUCCCCUCUACAACAACUCAACGAGAGAACUUGCUUUUGUGUUUAAAGACUUACUGGAAAAAUUUCAAAGAACGUAUGUGCUUUGGAGACAAGUUAUUUUAACAAAAAGUAUUACUUUAUAUCUAUGGAUCAAAAAUAAGCACUGAAAAGAUCAUAAGCAUCUGAGUGGUCCUUAGCAUCAACUUUUCAUCUGUUCUAUUAUUUAAAAAACUCUGAACUAAUUUUGUGAGAACUUCCAAUCCCUUUAUAUCUCUUUUGUCAUUAGUUUAAAAAUGUAGGCACUAUUUUGGAAGAUAUUAUUGACAUUCAGGGGUUCAAGAUGGCCUUGGAGCUUACUUUUCUUUUUUCCCCCCAGUUGCCCCAUACCUUAUACCAUAUUUAUUCUUCUGAUUUUUCAGGUUUUACUCCAUAUAAUGGGCACGGAAUUUUACAUUGAGAAUCCUGAUCCUCUCUGUGUAUUCCUCCUCUUAAGAGCACAAAGUAUUCGCUUCAAUACAACAAAGAACAUACAUCAGAGCCAAUGAUUAAACCAACAGAAGUAAAAAGAAAGUGACUCUAGUUCACUUACGAUUGCCUAGCAGUUUAAAAUUAUUAUUCAUGCCUUAAUUGGAUAAAAUAUAGCACGCCAAAAACAUGCACAGUGAAUGACUGAAUGCACAUUCCAAAUAAACAUUCCUAGCAAAUGCCUUCAACAAAUUAUAACAAUUAAAUCCAAGUGAUAUCAGGCUGUGAAAUAUAUGCAAGCAAGCCAACAGCUUUAACCUUGAGACUAAAACUCGUUUAAGUUAUUUUAUCGGUAGAAAAAGUCAAAGAAUUCCUGUCCCUUGUGCUUCAAAGAAAAAAGAAACAUUAACAAAUGCAUUGAAGCUAAUAACUAUAAGAUUGGUGUAAUGAACUAGAACUGAAUAAACUAAUAAUCUAAAUUUUCUGCAGAAGUUACAUCAUGAAUGAGCAAGAGGAACUUAUUUUCUCAUAAGCAAUUAGUUUUGAGAAAGAAAUAGUGAUAGGUGACAAAUACAAUGUAGAUACAGUGCGGUAUAUAUAAUGUACUGAUGUGGCAAACAUUGAAUCACAGUUUUAAAUUUUAUGGGGCAAUCAUCAUGUCAAUUUGUAACAAAAAAUUACACAUUUCGCGUUUUCCAUUUAUCCACAUUUCGCGUUUUCCAUUUCUCUAAUCAUUACUACUAUAAAGUGACACAUAUUUUCCCAACAACUAGUCAACUACCUCGAGUAACUCUUACAAAAAUGAAAGAAAAUUCAGCAUACAAUGCGAAGAAAUUCAAGAAAAAAAAAUCUUAAAAUAGAACUAUAACAGAAACUUGGUAAUGACAUACUUCGCUUGUAUAUUGCUUCCUGCAGAUCAGCCACAGUAGCCUAAAAAACAAGACCACAGCACAAUUAGAACCAUACCAAUGUUCUUCUUUAAGACAUUAACACGAACACCAAACACAACCCAAAUCAAGAUUUGAACUCUAAACGAAAAACAAACAAGGAACCAAUCGAGGAAAAAACCUGAAACUUACAGAAUCACUGAGCUCAAGGCCACCCUUUAUGAGUUCUCUGCCGCUACGAGUCGUGACUACCACCUUCAUCUCUGUUCCAAGAUUAAAGAGUAACCCAGUUAUUUUUCUGCUCAAGAUUAUAGAUAUGGGCUCGGAUUUAGCCAGGAGGGGAAAUUUAUUUGAAGGUGAAGAAGUCCAACGAUGGGGGAACGGGUGACUAAUGGCGUGUAGCCGGGGUAGAUGGCCCAACCAUUUGCACCGAUAAACCACUUUACACUCUACUACGUUGACAAAUUAAAUUCACAUUCGUAUCAAUACUUCAAUUUAAUCGCAAUUAUAAAAUUAGUAUUUUUUUUUUCUUCAAACGUCAUAAUUGACUGGUAGAGAUUUUAAUCACAUAUUUUAUAAAAUUUACAACUUUUAAAUCACAUAUUUAAUCAAUUUAUAUCAAAAUCUACUUAAAAUUUGAUUUUAAUCUUGAUGAAAUAGAGACUUCAUAAGUUAUUCAAAACUAUGUUAUAUUGGGUGCGUUUGAUUGCAUGCACGGAAUUUGGAAGAAAAUAAAAUAUAUUACGAGCAAUUCAAUUGUUUAGAACUUAUUUGUAUGAUUUAGUUUUCAACCUAAAAAAUAAUAUAUUUGUCCAUUUUUCAUUAUUGAGGAUGAGAGAGAAGGGAUAGAUGAGAAGAGAAAGAAAGUAAAUUUCCUGAAAAAUAAAAUCAUAUUUCUCUAAACAAAAUAUUUUCUUUGAUUUUGAGGAAACAUGUUCACAUGAUCAAAAGUAGGAUAAUGUUUUCCAUAUGAAAAAUGUCAAUGAAACAGCAUAAAAGUAGAAAAUUAGGUGAAAAACACACUUAUCAUAAAAAAUACUGACAAUCAAACGCAUCAUUCAUUUCAAAAACUAUGUUAUAUUUAAAACUAACAAAGCAAUUAAAAAAUCAUUUCUAAUAUAUAAGUGAAUUUUCUAAUUUUAAAUAAUUCUUAUGUUAAUUAAUUAAGUUUUCAUUCUUAAAGUAUCGUAAUGAUUUUGAAAUUAAAUUCUAAUAAUUUUAAUUAUUCCAAUUCAAUAAUUAAAAAAAGUUAAUCUGAGUAUUAAUUUUUGUGAAAAUUUAUUUUAUAAGUUUUAAAUAAAUUUAAGAUGUUUUAUACGAUGUAAUGUUUUGAAUUAUUUAUGACAUUUUAAGUAAUUAGAAAAUUUAUCUUGAAUUUUGAUACUAUUAACAAAGGGUUAUAAUUUUCUUGGAUAAUUGUAGCUGCGUCCCCAAACAUUUCAAAACGUAGUAAAUUUUCUCCUAACCUUUUUAUUUUUUGCACCUUUCACCCCAAAUCUUUAAAAUGCGUAAGUCUGAAGCUCAAAUGGAGCGCACCCAUCUUUACAAACAUAUUGAACUCGAUUUUUAUUAUUUCACUUGAAUAUGGUUUCAACUUGAUUGAAGACUACAUAAUCUCUCAUAACAGAAUAACCCUAUCGCGAGACGUAGAUUCCUCUUUUCAUUUUCAACACAAUAUUCAUGAAAUUUCGAUUUAUCAUUGUUCUCGUCCGAGUCCGAACCACUGAGAAAGUUUAGCUCCUCCGAAAAUGCAUAUGAAGAACUAUUUGAUUAUGGGGCUUCUUCAUCCUUUAUUACAUUAUUCAUAUCCAUUUUGAUGCCUUCAGUUGUGUUACGUUCCAAUAGGAUAUUAUCAUCAUUAUAAACAUCAUAGUUUGCGCCAGUGAAAUCUAGAUCAUCAUCUAUCUGAACAUAUAAAAUUGUAACAACAAAUACAUAAAACGACUCCAAGCUCAAAAACAUUGUUGGAGAUUGAAGAGAACACUUAAAAACACUUACUUAGCUCAUACAUGUUCGCCUACUCAACUAGUAGAAUUUGUGUUUUUAGCAUCUAAAUAUAAUAUACUAAAUAUAAAAUAGAGGACUUUCUAUCUAGUCGACAGUAAAAUAUUUAUAACCAAAAGCAUCCAUUAUCCAAAUCCAUGACAACAUAGCAGCAGUAAUUAAAUGACGGUUGCAUCAUAUUGCUAGGGACAUAACAACAUUUCUAUAGAUCUUCAUGGAAUUUUUGAAAAUGACCAUACCCCUAAGAAUUGAUAUAAUUUGAUUGUUUUUAAUUUUUAUGGGACCAACUUGUUAUUAUUUUUAUUUUAUUCUGCCCUCGUUUGAUCCACAUUUUUUUUAAAUACAUUUUCUCUCUUUUCUUUUUAACACAUUUUUUAAUAAAAUAAUAUUACCAAAAAAAAAAUGGAGCUCAAACAGUCGCUACAUUAUUUAUUAUUUACUGCUAGAGUGUUUGUUGCUUGAUCAUGGGAAAAGAUUUUUUUUUUUUUUUUGUGUAGAAUUUAUUGUAUUAUUAAUGUGCUUUUUAGUUCUAGGAUUGGGUAAAAGGCGGGAUGAAUGAAUUAUUUCUACAAUAUUUGAGUUGCUUGGAAGUUUAUAUAAAUGUGAUUAAUGCAAAAUCAUGGAGGAUGCAAAAUCAUUUGAAACUCCAAAUGGGUAACCUCAAUUUUUGAUACAAAUAAAUGGAGGAUGCAAAAUCAUUAAAACUCCAAAUGGAUAACACCACAAUUAACUUUAAGUUGGAUAAAUUGAUGCAUAAUUUAUAUUCUAAAACUAAUAUUUUACGUGCAAAAUAUAAAAAAUUUUUUUUUUUUUUUGUGUAGAAUUUAUUGUAUUAUUAAUGUGCUUUUUAGUUCUAGGAUUGGGUAAAAGGCGGGAUGAAUGAAUUAUUUCUACAAUAUUUGAGUUGCUUGGAAGUUUAUAUAAAUGUGAUUAAUGCAAAAUCAUGGAGGAUGCAAAAUCAUUUGAAACUCCAAAUGGGUAACCUCAAUUUUUGAUACAAAUAAAUGGAGGAUGCAAAAUCAUUAAAACUCCAAAUGGAUAACACCACAAUUAACUUUAAGUUGGAUAAAUUGAUGCAUAAUUUAUAUUCUAAAACUAAUAUUUUACGUGCAAAAUAUCGUAAAGAGUCUCAACUUGUCCAAACCAAGAUAUUUGCAUUAGAAUACGAUCAAAUCGUAAAUUUUUGAAACAUAGGGAGAAAAAAAAGAGAUGAAAUGAAACAAGGUAUGCAAAUGCAAAUCUCCUUAAGAUAGAUUUCGCCAUUUACACUAGUGCUAACAAUAUCAAAUGGACGUCUAUCUCUCAAAAUACAAUAUUUUUUCCAAAAUUAAUAUAAUACAAUAUUAAUUUUGUCGGGUGAACCAAAGUAUUGAAAAUAUUAUUCACAAAUGGAAUAGACAAGAAUUAAAAUUGCCUGGAAUAAAUUUUGAUUUGAAACUAAUUAGAACGGAAUUUAAUUUCAGCAAAAAAAUACAAUAGAAUAUUUUGAAGAGACGAAAGAAUUUAGAUUUUUUUUUAUUUGAUUUGGUGUAGGAAAUGUGGAAUUAGGUUCCCUAUUUAUAGAUUUUCAAGUGAUAUUUUGGAAUGGUUGCAUGUUUUGACAUAAACUAUUGUAGACCAUCAGAUCACAUAGUUUCACAUUUAUUGCAAAGAUACAGUAAUUUAUUUCCCACGCUAUUCAAUUGAUACAAAUUGAACUUCGUAAUAAACUCAUUAUUUCAUGUUUCAUUCUAGAAAUCAUAUGUAAACAAGACACCAAAAUACACCAUGCACUUGUAAUUUUAACGCAAUCAGAUAUUUUUAUCACACUGUACAUUUAUAAUACGUGAAUAUGAUUAAUGUAAUAUCAUCCGUCCAUCCAAAUUAGUAACUUUUACUUCUGCAAAUUCUAUAUGCAAAAUCAAUUUUUACAUAAAAUUUAACAGAAUAUAAUCAUGAAAAAAAUUCCCUUGCCAAUUUCUAAUAUGAAAUUAGAAGAAAUGUGAAAAGGAAGAGAAUGAAUACAAAUAAUUAAAUAAAUAUGAAAUAUGUUUUAAGAUUGUUGGAGAAAUUGGUGCAUAAUUUAUAUUCGACAACCAACCUUUACGUGCAAAAUAUCAUAUAGAAUUUUGACAUCUCGAAAUCAAGAUACGUGCAUGAAAGUACAAUGAAAUUGUGAGGUCUGUGACUUACUGAAACAUAGAAAAUUGAAGGAGAUGAAAUGAAAUAAGAUAUGCGAAUGCAAAUUUCCUUCAGAAAGAUUUCACUCCUGCACUGAUGCUAACAUGAUCAAAUAUACAUCUAUCUCACAAGAUACAAUACUUCUUCCAAAAUUAAUAUAUCACAAUAUUAAUUUCUUAGGUGAACCAAAGUUUUAAUAGCAUUCUCACAAAUUGAAUAAAUAUGAACUAAAAUUGUUUGGAUGAAAUUUAUUUAUGAAAAUAAUUCUAACGAAAUUUAAUUUCAACAAAAUAAAAAUAACAGAAUAUUUUGAAGAGAUAAGAAAAUUUAGAAAUCAAUUUUUCUUGAUUUGAUUUGGUGUAAGAAAUUUGAAAUUAGAUGUCACUUUUUAUAAAUUUUCAAAUGUCUUUUCAAAUUGUUGUAUCUUUUGACAUAAAUUAGCGUGGAACAUUAGAUUAUACCUUUUCAUAGUUAAUUGUCUAGAUUGCACUAUAUCAAAAAUAAAUUUUCAUAAUGUAACUUUCUGAAUAUUCACAAUCACUGCAAAAUAACCUGACUCUUUGACAUGCACCAUUUUGCAUUUGAAGUGUCACGACUAAUCAUUGCACUAGUUCGAGACUUUUCCAAUUUACAAAUAUAAAAUUAUCCUUUGAAUUCCAACAAAAGAUUAUAUAAAUACCAGGUCCAAGUUAAACUACAAAGUAGAGCAUAUUACUUGGUAAUUAUCGCUCAACGUUAGAUGUGAUGGCAUAAUCGACACUUGUGGGGACAACCUUCCUUGUUGUAAAAAAUGAUGAAAUUUUAUAGGUUGGAACGGGGUGGAGACGAAAGCGAUUUGGGGUUCUAGAAGGGAUGAUCGAUUUGUAGAGGAGCACUUGAAGAAGGAAGAACUCAUCUGAAAUUUUGGGAAAGAUUGAAUUUUAGGUUUGUCUUGAAAGUUUUGGGGAAAUUUUGAUAUUAGUUGGGAACUGAUAUGGGAGAGUGAUCUGGGUUUCAUACAAACACACACACACAUGUAUAUACAAGUGUAAAAUACAUGUUUCAUUAACACACUUUUGUCCAUGCCAUUAGCAACUUCAUGAUUUGACAUCCAUUAAUGGCAAUAAUGUGCCGCAAACGAUUUCAUUUGCCACGUUUGGCGUUCCUUCACUUUUAAAAAGUAUUGUUGCGAGAUUGAUGGAUGGGAUGACAUGUCAAAGACUUCAUUGACUGAUGGAAAAAAAUUUUAAAAGUUAAAUAAUCCACUGAAAACUUUAUGUAAAUCCCAAUGAUCAUUCAAAAUUUUAACCCUGUUUUUGCUUAUAUUCAUAGGGUAAUAAUGUUUAUUAGCAUAGUUUGUGAACUUAUAUAUCGACAAAUUAAUAACAUAGCUUAAAUAAUAAAAGAGUAAAGAUAUAUAUCUCCAACUUGCAUUCAUUACACCUACAUCCAUUUCACAUUAGGCAUAUGCAUGCUCUAAUUGAAAUAUUUGGGGAUGAUUGCGUACUAUAGUGUUCUUAACGGCUGUAGUUUCUACUCCUGCUAAUAGACUAGCGCAUUUCUGAAACUCUAGAAAUUUUUACUUGUUGGUGUCAAUUAAGCAAUCUGUGGACUUUUGUAGUUCUCCACAUUGCUUUUGAACUAAUAGUUUUCAUGUUACGUUAAUUUGAGAUUGCUCGACUUCCUUGUGUAAAAAUGAAAUAAAUCAAUCAAUCAAAUUUCGACAAGCUUCAUGAAUUGCUUCUCUCAAAGUUGAACUCCCAUCUAUCCAUAUUUUCAUUCCCAUUCCAAUAAGAAUGAGUACUAUGAAUCUCAUUCAAACAGGCAUGAAGACAACGUCUAUAAGCAGCGGGUGGUGUAGCGAAAUUGAUUGCAAAAGAGCGAAAAUCGAUCACAUUAAAACUACCUUCUGGGGAGGUCCAUUUGAUAUUAAAAAAACUGUUCAGCAACAAUCAGACAAGUUGAGAAUGUUGGGUUGAACCAAAAAAUUUUGUGUAGAGCCGAAUCUAAGCAUUAACUAGGUAAGCAUCCUGUAGUAAUAUGUUCAAUCCCCUUCAUUUCGAUAGUUGUUUCUAUUUCUACAUCUCUUUCUUCCUCACUUUCCACCUUUUCUUCUCGAAAGAAUCCGCAUAUGUUUGGUAAAGAAAAUAACCUUCUCCUAUGAAAAUAAUAAAAAAUGGAAAGUGUUUAAUUGGAACAUGAAAACGUGACUAAAUGGUUUUAGUUACUCUUCGGGACACAGUGAAAUGAUACAAGAAGAAAGAGUUUAUUGCUCCUUUAUAUUCCUUUUUUUUUUCAAUUACUUCAAUACACUAAGAUCGUGUCUUAUCCAUUUGUAGGUGGAGCUUCCAUAUAAGCUAGGUCUGGAGUUAAUUUAUGAGCAUCAAGGUUCACACGAUUAAUGAUAUCAGCAGUCUACUUUCUUCCCUAUGAGUUCUAGUCUCAGUAAGAAUGUCAAUUCUUACUAUUUAUAUAUUAUGAUAUGAAUAUACAAUACCAAUUCGUUAUGUGCAUUAAGAUACGAAGGCUUCUUAUUCACUUGGAAAAUAAAACAUUACAUACUAAUGGAUUCGGGUCCAUAACUGCGAGUUCCAAUGCAAGAGAUUUUGUAGCACUUACUAAUGAGGCCUUAUCAAUUAGUAUUGACUGAUUAAUAUUUAUUUUCCAAUACAGAUAAAAUUUUAUCAUUUUUCACUGCAAUUUCCUCACAGACUUCAACUCAAUUACCUGGUUACAAAACAAGCUUGAAAAAUGUGGCAAAAGCCAAAAAAUUAACAACACAUUAAACUUGAAUAUAUUUUUUUCUUAACCUAAGGUCACAAAAAAGAUCAUUAUAUACUAGUAAAAGCAAGCAGGUACAACAAAAAUCGAAUGUAGAAUGAUAAUAAAUGGCAUACUCAUAAGUCACGAUGGUGCCAAUUAAAUACACAGUUACAAUAAUACAAGCACUUCAUAUAACUCUCCGUCUCCCUAUUAGUGCAACAUCGCUUUGAAAUGUUAAACGGACAAUUUCUCUCACCAAAAAUAUAAUUUUACUUCAUAUUUUCAACUUUCAAAAGGUAUAUGUUCGCAAUAACAAUGAGAUGUAAGUAAUUUGCAAAAUUAAAAUGCUUAAGAACCAGGAUAUACAUUUUCAAGAGCAAAAGUUGAAGAUGGAGAAAUAACGAUAAGCCCUUGAAUAGGUAAUCAAAGGUUAUCAGGCAACAGAGGAAGAAAGAGGGAAAAGAAACCUUACCGAGGCCUAUCAAGAAUAUCUCGCAUUUAACUUUCAAUGAAAUGUGACCACUACACCAGAAAAAUGGAAAAAUAAUAUACCACCAUAAUAACAAAGGAUUACACCAUGCUUAUAUGAUUCUAGAUGUCUUGAAUCCAUUAGAGAUACAAAAACACUUAAUUGACAGAGUAUUUGACUAAUAUUAUUGAGACAUCAACAAAUCCCAACUAGCUCAGAAGUGUAAACCAAUCAAUUAAAAUCCAAAACAUUGACAUACGAUAAAACUUUACCGUAAGUUAAUGCUAGAAGGUAGAAAGCAUGUGUAGCUAAAAGGUAUAAUGAAAUUUGCUAGUUGGGUUUUCUUUUCUUUCUUUUUUUGGAGCCUUUUACCAUGAACAUGAAUAGUUCAUGGCAAUAAAGUCACUGUUCUCACACCAAAAGUUGAUCCUGUCACCUAACUUCUUUCAUUCAAUGAUUCUUAUAAGAAUUAAAGCUCGUGGAUGUAUGUUUAUUCAGCAUUCAGAAAAAAAGACGGACAAUAAUCGAACAACGACUAAUGAUCAGCCACUAAUACAAGCUCUAUGCCCAAAAUUUAAGCAUUUACUAUCUACAGGUAGGAAAUAUUUGAAAAAGAGUGCUAUAGGGCAGGGAUCGAUCACAUACCUUAAAUGGAUAGCUGUGAAUAUUAUCCGAAAUGGAGACUAACAUAAUCUAUCAAAAGCACUUUUCUUCAUCAAAAUUUAGAUGAACUCCAGCCGACACCACACUUCUUUUUCAGAUUUUUCACGUCUCUUCAAAGUUGAAUUGAAGUCCAUUAUACCAAAUCGAAGACAAAGAGAUCCUAAACUUUCAGUGAUAAUAUUUGCAGCGAAUAAAGUUUCAAAUCAAUAAAUUUUUUGGAGUAAACUAAGGUAAGAAUCUAAAAUUAAAUGCGUUUCGUAACAUCAUACAAACGUAAAAUUGUGUAAUUGUUAUGUUUAGAUAUUAUAAACAAUUGCUUUAUUAUUGUGGUUGGUUAUUCUCUUUGCUAAUCAGCAUUCCUUUUUUAAGAUAUGAUGAUCAUGAAAUCUUAUUGGACAUCAUUAUAUUUUUUGGGUCUUAUGUCUAGUUUAGUAAACUUGUAUUGUAGCAUUAUUGUAUCAUCAUUAGCCUAAAAAAUUUGAAUAAAUUUUCUUUUAAGAAAAACUAUGUUUUAGUUUAUUGUGAUUUCUUUUUUAUUUAGUUAGUAUUUAAAUUUAUAGCAGAUAUAUUUAGCUCCUGUUUGAGCCAUAUUUUUCAUAUCAUCAUAAUGAGAAAAUUGAACGUUAGAGAAGAGGUUGGGUCCCACACAUGAAAUAGUGGGUCAACAAAGGCGACUGGACUUGUGGGAUAAUAGUCCAAAUUUUCAUUUUUUGUCCCAAAAGUUUGGUUCAAAUAGGGACUUAGUUUAUUUUAGAUUUAUUGCUAGUAAGACAUAAAUAUAUAUUAAAUUCAAUAAAUUAAUGAUAUAAAAAUAGACAGGCAAAAAAAUAUGGCGAAACCAACGGUUUGAAACCGAACCAAGCCGUUAGGUUUAGAUUUGAGUUUUUUUCAAAUGGUUCAAAAUGACUUGGUUUAGGUUUGGAUUUUUCUCAAACCGAUUUAAACGAUUUGGUUUGAAAAUUUGUCAAAAAUCGGUAAAAUCGGACCACUUACACCCCUACUUCUUACAGGUAAUAAAAAAAUAGGAUACAUGUCAAUAAAUAAGGCAACAUUGGAAUUCUUAGAAAAUGGAGGAAAAUUCACCACUUCUUACUUGUUUUUCCCCCAAAAUAGAAUACGCUUACUCGUUUUCCCCCAAAAUAGAAGAUGACCAAAAACCCGUCAUUGCCAUUUCCGACCUAAAGCCAACCUUGAAAAAUCAAUCAGGAAGAAGCCCGUAGUCGAUUCCGAAACUCCGGCCGACGGCAUUAUCUAUGUAGAUAAUUUCUUGUUUAUUUAGUUAGCGAAUUAGGUUUACUUUCCUGAUUCUUCACAGCCACUGCCACUGCCACUGCCACUGCAUUAUUUCUUUGGAUUUUCAUUAUACAAAGUAAUAUUUUGAGUUUCAUCUCAAUUUCUUGAUCUAAAUCAUCAAUUUUGUUGAUAAAAAUCAAUUCUUAAUACCUGUAAAUAAGAGCAAAAGGAUUUUGGGUUCUUUGAUUAUCUCUCAACAUUCAAUUAAAAUCAAUGAGUUUCCCUAUUUUUCAGACUUCUGCCUCCUACUGUGUUAAAACACAGUGAAAAAUUGCAGACAAUAAAAUAAGGGUAAUUUAGUGCAGCAUUGCAAUCUGAUUUAUACAGUAUUUUUCUAAAAUAAAACAUUGAGCAGUAUUAUUGGAUUUUUUUAAACCACGCAAAACGUUAGUUAUUCAAUAAAAAGUAACACAUAGUGAAUUUCUGAGCUUGUUAUGAUUGGUUGAUUAUUACCUUUUCAUGUGUCGCUGCAGAAUAACUUAUGGAAAACGUGAUUGAUGAUUGUUCGGUGGAAUCCGGGGAUGAGAAUGAUACGAAGAAUAUGAACAAAGUGGACGACAAAAUGUUAGAAGAAGAUGAUCCGAUUGUGCCCGAGGUGGGUAUGAUUUUUAGCAGUGAAAAAGAAUGUGGGAGUUCUACAAAAGAUAUGCAUAUAGCGUAGGUUUUCCAAUUAGGAAAAUGAAUUCAAAAAAGGGGGAUAAUGGUGUAUUAAGAUUUGUGACCUUCACUUGUAGUCGUGAAGGAAAAAAUAGGAGUAGUAAAAGCUGUUCUUUAAAGCUGCAACCGACAAUCCAAAUAGAUUGUAAGGCUAGGAUCUCAACAUCUUCAGAUACUCAUGGAUCGGGGAGAAUUAACACAGCUAUCCUCGAACACAAUCACAAAACAAGUCCUUCGGAGUCGAGGUUGUAUCGAUGCAAUAAAGAGUUGAGUACACAUGUGAAACGGAAGCUUGAAGUGAAUGAUUGGCAGGAAUUUCAUUGCAUAAAAGCUACAACUUUGCAGUUGUUGAAGCAGGUGGAUACGAGAAGAUGACUUGCAUUGAAAAAGAUUGCUGGAAUUAUAUCGAAAAAGUACGACGACUAAGACUUGGAGAAGGAGAUGCUGCAGCAUUACAAUCUUAUUUCUCAAAUAUGCAAGCACAUUGUUCAGGAUUUUUCUUCAGUAUGUAUUUGGAUGAUGAAUCAAGGCUGAAAAAUGUAUUCUGGGCAGAUAAUAGGUGCAAACAAGCAUAUAAAGAGUUCAACGAUGUGGUUACAUUUGACACCACGUACCUCACUAACAAAUACGACAUGCCGUUUGCCCCAUUCGUUGGCGUCAAUCAUCAUGGGUAAUCAAUAUUGCUUGAAUUUGGUUUGGUGUCAAAUGAAGAAACAUAUAUAUUUGUGUGGUUGUUCAGUACGUGGCUUAAGUACAUGCAUGGUUAAGCUCCUGUCAGAAUAAUAACCGAUCAAGAUAGAGCUAUGCAAAAUGCAAUUCGAACUGUUUUUCCAAAUAUGCGACAUAUAUGGUGUCUAUGGUACAUUUUGAAGAAGUUGCCAAAAAAGUUUGGCUACCAUAUAAAUAAGGGCCAGAUUUUUUCUACCAUACGUGGAUUGGUUUAUGAUUCGCAAUAUAUUAAAUAAUUUGAGGUAGGAUGGAGCGUUAUGAUUGAUGAGUAUGAAUUGUAUGACAAUGAUUGGUUAUUAGGACUAUACGAGAACAGAAGUCGUUGGGUUCCUUACUUUUUGAACACUAGUUCCUGGGUGUGGAUGUCAACAACUCAAAGGAACAAGAGUAUGAAUGCAUUUUUUGAUGGGUACGUACACUCGAAGACGUCUCUGAAAUAGUUUGUGGAACAGUAUAAACGAGCCCUGAACAAUAAGGUUGAGAAGGAGUUCCAAGCAGAUUUUAAAUCAUAUUCGCAAAUGUUACCAUGUGCAACGACUUUCGAAAUAGAGAAGCAAUUCCAAUUUGUCUACACCAUCGCAAAAUUUAAAGAGGUUCAAGCUAAAUUCACAACAAAGAUGUAUUGCGACGUCAUAUUAGCAUCUGAGACAUGUUUCAGGAUGACAUACGAGGACAUGUUUCAGGAUGACAUACGAGGACAUGUUUCAGGAUGACAUACGAGGACAUGUUUCAGGAUGACAUACGAGGACAUGUUUCAGGAUGACAUACGAGGACAUGUUUCAGGAUGACAUACGAGGACAUGUUUCAGGAUGACAUACGAGGACAUGUUUCAGGAUGACAUACGAGGACAUGUUUCAGGAUGACAUACGAGGUACGGGAGGUUGUUGUAUUAGGUGAAGCAAGGAAGAAAUUCAUUUUCUGUUUCAUUAGAGAAAGAGAAUAGUGAAUCUUCUUGUAGCUACCACUUGUUCGAAUUUCGGGAAAUCAUUUGUAGGCUUGCAAUUGCAGUUCUUACCCGCACUGACAUCAUAGUACUGCCAAAGAGGUAUAUACUGCAACGUUGGAGGAGAGAUGUUAUUAGAGCACAUACCAAGGUUGCAAUAAACUACGAUGGGUUGGUGAGUACUCCUGGACAGUUGAGAUACGACAAUUUGUGUCAAUCUUUCACUGUAGUAGAAGACCUUGCUGUAGAUAGCGAAGAAAGAUGUCUGUGAUAAUGGAUUGGAUUAAAGCACAACGUAAUGAUCUGAUGUUGACACGAUCGAUCAAUGGAAACAAUGUCAUCCCACAGCAAACUACUCAAUUUCAAUCAACAGGUAUUGCAAACGGGAGCAUACGUGAUCUAAUUUCCUCGAAAACAAAAGGUGUCCCUAAGAAACUCAUAAAGGAAAAGCCCACUCGAAUCAAAACCAAAGACAGCUAAGGUACGUUCCCUUAUUUAAAUCACAUGUACGAUUAUUGCUUCAGAAUUGAAAGUGUAAGAAUUUUUUGCUUCACAUGCAGGCUACAUCGACAUCAAUAACAGGAAAUAGACCGAUAGCACAGCGUUCUAAAUUGUCAGGCGAUCCUAAUCAUAUGCAAGCUGUAUUCCUUGAAGAAUAAUAUUCAAUGCCGACAACAUUUUCAUAUUCAGAACUCUUAGUGGUUAGUAUUUUAAGUUCGAUCGUAGGACUUCUUUCAUGUCAUACUAAUACUAAGUAAUUCUUCGAUAUAGGGUGGUAGUGGAAGUCAAGAAUUGACACAACAAUUACUGGAUUCAAAUUUGACUCCGCCAUCAUCAACUUCGGUAUUCAAUUCGCAAAGUACAUGAAAUGGUUACAUAUAGAAAUCUCGCCAAUUUUAUUUGCAUGUGCACAUAGUAAUAUGCAUAUUGCAAAAUGGAUCAUGUGGCAGCCUAUUAUUACCGAUAGUUCUAGGAUGAAUUUGGCAGAGGAUUGUGACUGGUGAUUUUAGCAGUAUGAAGAAGUUGAUACAGUGGCUGGUUAUCAUUAAGGGAAAUUAAAUACAAUUUCAUUUUGUUGGUUCACUGCAAAACUUACAUUUUUUUGUCCAGCAGUAAAAAUACAUAUGUUCCAUUUUGUUGGUUCAUUGUAAAUACUCAUUUUCACCAACGCUCACUACAAAACUUAUAUUUUUUGUCCAGCAGUGAAAAUACAUAUGUUCCAUUUUGUUAGUUCACUAUAAAUACUCAUGUUCACCAAUGUUCGCUAUAAAACUUAUAUUUUUUUAUCCAACAGUAAAAAUACAUAUGUUUCCAUUUUGUUGGUUUUCUGUAAAAUACUCAUCUUCACCAAUGUUCAUUCAUUCAAAGUAGAUGCUUCAUAAACCACGCUUUUCAUUUAUGAACAUUGCACGGGACAAAAUGGAUAACACAAGCGGUAGAUAAAAGUCAUAUUUGUGCAUCCAUUGAUUUUACUACAAGCCAUACUGAUACAUUCAAACGUAAAAACAAACUGCCAACUACUACGAGCAACUUCUCAACCUGGCCCUUCCCCUUAGCAUUCCCUUCCUCCAUUGAUUUCCCUUUCACGAUUGUUAUGUUCAUGUGCAACGAGAUUUAGAUCUCGUUAUCAUCCUUUAACUGCAGAUUGGAACACUUGUACCAUUUCGGGCAUUGUCUCCACUUGACUCGCCGUCUUUUACCCAUUCCCAGAAGUCGCAUUUCUCGCUGCAGCACUUGAAUAGUUUUCCUUUGUUCUCAGUCUCCCUCUUGAACUGAAAACACUUCUGGAAUCUAGUCUUACAAUUCGGGCAUUGGCGUCUCCUCCUACACUGAUUCCAGAAUUUUUUCCUUUCCUUCCCUUUACAACCAUCACAAAUUCCAGAAUUUUUUCUUGCUAUUGUACCAUGGAAUCAACAACAAAUAAUCAAUCCUAAAUAAAGAAGUUAGUGUUGAUUCAACGAAAACAGAAUCAGAGAUCACGAAUUGAUGCAGGAAAAAUUAAUUGUGGAUUAAACCACUUGAUGCUUACACCCAAUCAGAGAUCACGAAUAAUGCUGGUUUCCAGAUGAGGACUCCAGUGUGACUGCAAGAGAAGAGACGACGACGAGCUCACUACGAUCGGAAGUCGGGGCCGAAUGGUUUUGGGGUGCUGCGUAUUUUUUUGUUAUGGGUAACGAGAUGGACACGGUUAUACUAUCAUCGUGGUCGAUGGUCGGAUAUGGAGAGAUGACAAGUAGCGGCGAUCAACAAGAUUUAGUGCUUCGGUGAUGGGUAGGGUUUUAGGGAAGAAUAAUGAGAGACAGCGAGCCGUUUUUUUUAUUUCCUUUAUAUUUGGGGUUUUUUUUAAUACUUGUAGAAGACCUGUGAGACUUUUAACCUGGUAGAGUAGCGCGAUUGCUAUAUCUUUAUCUAUGUCAGCAAAUAUUGAAGUGAAUAUAAUUCAUGUAUUCUCAAUCAUCAUAUAUCCGUAUGGAAGUGUCAUAACACACUAAUAAUCUGGAAAACCACAACAUUGUGCAAUGAUUACUAGCUAAUAUAAGUCGGAACAAAUCAUUAUUACAACAUUCACCAUAUUAUUGUCGAUAUGUGAUCAUUAAAUUUACAUCCGAUUAUUUCCGCCCAAAUUAAACCACCACUGAAAAAGCUCUUACUUGAACAUCAAAAAUGGGAGAAACUAACAUGCAUUCUGCUAUUUCUGAUUUGAACCAAGUCAUUAUCAAUCUUGGCUAGAGACAGUUGAAGGGAAACUAAUCCAUUGUCAACUAUCACGAACUAACUGCUAUUAACUAUAGAAAGUAGAAGGCGAAGACCGAUGAUUGAACAGAGUAAAUUGUUAGGCAGAUUUGCUUUUGUUUCCAUUUCCAAUUUUGAAAAAGACGGUCAUUUUGGAAAUGCAAAAACGAAUGUGUUCGAUACAUUGGUCCAAUUCAAUCUCUAAUUUUCAAAAAUCAUGCCCUGAAUCUUUUCUCUCUCCCUCCAACAGCUAUGAAGCCAUGAUCUCAACCUACCAAACCUAACAUCCCGCAGCAACAACUCCAAUAAGAAUCAACGGCAGCUAAUAUAUUUACAUACCAAGUAUAGAUAAAUAAAAAGUUCUAGCAUGUUUUUUCUUGUACCUUUUGGUAAAUGAAACAAAAAAUGAAGUGAAAACAAACUAGGCAGCCAUACUACAAAUUACAGCUUGCAAUUUGCCUACUGGAGCACCAUCUUUGAAAGUCAUAAUUAUCCAUGGUAGGAUUAAAUGGGAUAGUUCUAAUGAAAGGUUGUAAAACUGCAUUUCAAUCCACAAAUAUUCUUAACGUUUUAUAAAGAAAAUCCAAUAAGAACAUAACACAACUUUAAAGUAAAUUAGGCAAUCUGUCAGCAAAUUAUAAGAGAGUAUGCAUAUCUUGUCAAAAUUUAGAAUUAAAAGGCAUCAAAUUCAAGUGAAAUUAUCUUCUUAUGUAAAGAAAAUCAUAAUCAGGCUAAGCAUAUCCUUUUGAUUUUUAGUAAGGCAUUUCCCCAUCCACUUUACAGUGGCUGUAGGCCCAAAAUCUGUGUGGGAGGGGUGGCCAAGAAAUUUUUUUUUUUUUUUUUUUUAUAAGUUGAACAAUGCUAGACCCAGUUAUCGAAGAGCAGCCUACAACUCUCGAGCCCAAAUCCAAUCCCCUUGAUAUAUCCAUAAUCCAAUAUCCAUUUACCAAAAAUUCCCAAAUCAAAAUCCCAUUUAUCCCGAACCCUCGUCAGAGUCGUCUCCAUUAGGGCUGGGAAAAUCUCCCGAACCGAACCAAACUCGACGGUUCUUGUCAAAUUAAAUACCCUAACGGGUAUCUGAAUUGAGAACCGACGGGUACGGUUCGGUUCUCGGUUCUAGGUCAAGAACCGAAUCUUUCUUUUUUUUUAAUAUUGAAUAAAUCAAAUUAUUUUAAUUUUAAUUUUUUCUAAACAAAUUAACAAUUCUUAAAUCCAAAUUUUUGGCCCAAUAAUUUGUUUCAUUUCUAAUUUUUUAAUUUUGGCCCAAUUACCAUUUUAUUGUUUCAUUUCUUAGCCCAACAAGAUCUAACCCACUAAAUAACCUUAAACACCUACACUGAAGUGCAUAACGCUGUCUCGACUCUUGUAACCUCGUUGACAUUUCAAAACCUAUACAAUUGCCGGCCGAUGUUGUGACCUCCGAUCGAAGCUAUGACCUCCACGGACCAAAGCUUUGACCAUAGCGAUCAUUUGACCAAAGUAAUCUACCAGUCUCUGACAUUCCAAAACCUUUGAAUGUAUCAUUAGUUGUAUUUAUAUAAUGUUAUUAUAAAUGUUAAAAAAUUUAAUUAUAGUACAAAACUGAACGGAACCGAACCGAACCCGAACGGUUCCAUAAUUAUAUUUGGACCCGACAGUUCCAUUAACUAGAUACCCGAAAAUUUUUGUUCAGUUCGGUUCUCUUUAGAACCGAACCGAUCCGCGCCCCACCUCUAGUCUCCGUUGCUUCCUUCUCUCUUCUCGACUUCUCCUUCCAGAUUUCCUCUUCGUCAAAGUCUCGGACACCGGUUCCACAGUUGGCUAUUAGUAUAGUAUGUUACUCUGUUACAUUAUGAAUUUCAUUUGAGUUAUUUGAUUACAUUUGGUACACCCACUCUUGUCUGUUCAUCGGUUUUCCCGUUUUCAGUUUCUGCACAAUACAUUGCUGUUCAACGUGUUCAUUUAUGGCUUUUACUUUACUUUUAUUUAUUAUAAUUUUGCUGACUUGAUUUUAAUUGAUAAAUGCUAUUUUUCUAUUACACCAAAGAAUAUUUUAUUCAAUAUCAAGAAAAAUGUUUUAGGCAGUCUAAUAAUUGGAAAUUGGAAUAAUUAUGGAUAAUGGACCAGAAAUGUAAAAUAUAAAUUUUGCUGGGUUCUCUAUAAUCUAUUUUUUGCAUUACUCAACAGGACAAGCAAAUCAAAUGGGAAUUUUGGUUGGUUGGAGUAGAAAAGACCUGACCUGAGUAAAGUUAGGCUUAAAACAUUAAAAUUGAAACCUAAUGGAAUAUUGGAAUUUGAUGUAAACAAUAUUAAAAUUUCAACGAGAAUAGCCCCACCAAUUGAAACCCUGAUUACAGCACAAAGUGGCAGAGCAUAGAAAAGUGUAUCGGUGUUUGAUGUUAAAUUUCAUAUUUGUAUUGGUGUUUGAUAUUAAAUUUUUGUUUCAGACUUGUGAGUUGUGACGGUGAAAUUCUCGAGGGUGUAAUUCUAGAGUUUUCAUCGAAAUUACUUCUAAGGUAAACAAUGGCUUGCCCUAACUUGUUAUUGAAGAUAUUAGAAAUGUUUGAAAUCUUGUUGGCUUAUGUAAUUGCGUCCUGUCAGCUCAUAUAUUUGAUUAUUAUAUGAUCAACAAUUGCACAGGCACAUGUAACAAGGGAUAGGACCUAAUUUCCGCAUUCUAAUUUGCAUCAAACCGAAAAAAGAAACAACAAAAACCCAAGACAAAAACUUAUAACCCAUUAUUAUCCCAGCCCAAUUCCUCAAAUCCAAACCUAUACAUUUCAUCGUCACCACCUCUCUCUAGUAUCGCUCCAGUCAUCGACGUCUCUGGCUAUAAUUGGCUCCUGCUCUCACUGCUCCGGUCAAUCACACCUAUAAAACUUCAUUUUGCAAAGGAUUUUUGUUGUCGUUUGGCUUCAUUUUCUACCGUUGUUUGAUUUUAACCCUAACAACUGCUCUCCAGACCCUUCUCCAUUCUAUUGCAAUAUGCUACUUUCCUCUGAUUAUCUUCAUAUUGAUGUCGUCUAUAGUAACAUUCAAAUCGUGAUAUAGUUUUCAUUGUUCUUAGAUUUUCCAUUGUAAUUUUUACAUGGAUGAUUUUCAUGGCGGGUGAACAAAUCUGUAAUUUUUUUUAAUUAUUAUUAUUUUUUUUUUUUGUAGUGCGAAUCGUCUUUUGUUCUUUGCUUAGGAUUUAUACAUGUUUUGAUUUUUUUUGGUUCAAUUUAGAUGUUCAAAUUGAUUAUUUUAGUUUUCUUUUCCAUGUCUCAACUCAUGAAUUAUGCUUUGCUCUUUUAAGGUUUCUAUUGUGCUCAUUUUUAGUUUCGUCACGAAGCUCAUACAAACCUUCCUUUUCUCAAAAUGGUCAGAGACUCGAAGUCUCUUUAGAUUUUGUUCUUUGUGGCUUCAAUUUAUUUUUCCUUAGGUCUCAUGAGUCCGCACUUUAUGUUCAUGAAAUUUUUAACAUUUUUAUAUUUCUGUCUCUAUUGUGUGCUCUUGUUCAGAAUUCCCAACAGAUCUUUCAUGGAUAUAGGGAUUGUGUGGAUGGAAGAAUUCUAACGGGUUUCUGAUUUUAUGAUUUUAUUCAUAUAGGAUUUGACUGUUAUGGGUUUUCAGUAUGUUCCUCUAUAGAUAUGUAUAGUUUCAAUAAAGUUUACUAGAAGAGUUAUGAUGUGAGGGUUUUAUGUGCCUUCAAUUUGGAUUUGCCUGGUUUUGAUUUGUUAAUUUGUUGAUUUUCUAGGUUUCUAUUCUAUGGAACAGUCUGUAAUCUUCAUAGGGUUGAUAAUCCGAAUCAAUUUACAAUUGUACAUGAGGCAUGUGUAUUUUUAUUUUCACAUAUUUUUCUUUUCCUUGUUUUCGAGUAAAAGUAUAUUUGUAGGAAUUUGUGUUGAGAAUGUGAUUGAAUGUACAGGAGAUGCUUUAGAAUUAAUAUUCCGAUAUAUUUGUAGGUAUUUGUCUUGAGAAUGCAGUUGAAUGUAUAGGAGAUGCUUUAGAAUUAAUAUUUCGAUAGGCAAGUUAUGAUGAUUUAGCUUGCUUCCAACAAAGUAUUUAUGAUACUGGCCAAUUUCCAUCGUUUAUGCAAAAAUAUGAGAUAUUAGCCUAGACACUCUUGAAUAGGAUUAAUGAAGGAAAAUUCAAAACUAUGCCAACCAAAGAGAAUAUCAGUCUAAACUUUUAAUAAGUAAAAGUUAAACUUUUUGUUUCCGGCUAUUUUUUUCCUUAAGUUUUUGCUUUAUUUGAUCAUGAAGCAGCUUUACUUCUCCAUUUUUUGUAAGUAAAAGUUAAACUUUUUGUUUCCGGCUAUUUUUUUCCUUAAGUUUUUGCUUUAUUUGAUCAUGAAACAGCUUUUCUUGCUCCAUUUUUUGGUUCUCUUAAGAAAUUUACUUAUUAUAGCUUCCUUAUUAUUUUUAAAUUUUUUUUUACUUUAAAGUAAGCCUUUAAACUCAGGAAACAUGCUCCUUCCAUUAAAACUUCCCUACAUGUAACAAUCGAUCGUACAAAAUACUUAUAGCCACCAAUAAAUUUCAACCUCUUAACAAAAUUUCAUAAAAAGGGAAAAAUGGUUACAGAUUAGAGCAGAAGAGUAGUAGAAAAGCAAUUGAAUUAAUAAUAGAAUUAGCUGCACAAUUUUUUUCAUUGCCAAGAACUUAAUUGUGAAGCCCGAACGAACAGCUGAAGAAGAAAAUGAGAACCCAAACUAAAUGCAUACACCCACUGGGAUUAAGCAGUAUUAUUAAUUAUUUGGAAGCAAAUCAAGAAAAUUGCAAAUUAAUUGAAAAGGCAAUAGAAAAGCUGUAUUACUAAAAAGUGGUAGAAAAAUUGUUUUAAGUAAAUUGCAAAUUAAUUGUUGAACAUCUUUGUUAUUAAGGUUAUGUUUGAGCCACUUUUUUUCAAAAAAAUACAUUCUUAAAUAGUGAUUUGACAUCAUUUCGACCACACAUUCUUCAAUAAAAUAAUAUUGUACGCAAAUCCAAAACUCUUCUUUAUUUUUUAACCAUACAUUUUCCAUCAAUACAUAUUCAAAAAUACAUUCUUAGAAAUAUAAUAUGACUCAAACAAGGGCUAAAAGAUGUUCUCAACGCUCAUUGCAAUUUUCAUCUUUGUUAUUUAUCAUAUAUAUAUAUAUAUAUAUGCAGCUUGAUUUUGUGAUAAUAGUUUGUGCUCUACUUUGUUUCCAUUUUGUAUCGAAGGAAGACAUAGAAAAUGUUCUCAACUCAUUAUUUGUUGCCUUGUCUGCAAAUUAAUAAAUAGUGGUUAACUGCUCCUCGGAGCAUAGCCCAGUGGUGCAAAGAAUAGGAGUAAAGUUAUCUCACGUCUUGCUGACAGUUGCAGUGUGGGGGUUCGAUUCCUGAAAUAUGGAAUUGGACUUCUUGUAGACGCAGUAUACAGGCAACUCAUGUUCCCUAACCUGUUAGGGCACAUCUCGCAAUUUACCUCCCUCACAAAGUUCUAGAAGUUGGGUGAUGGAGACUUCAAGAUUGGAGUUUAACUUUUUUUUAAUGAAUAGUUGUUGACUAAAUAAAUUAUUGUUAUUACCUUGUCAGCACAAUGAAACUAUUUUUGGAUUGUUGUUUUGAGUAAUGUAUGACUAAUAGCCCCCCUUUUUUUGUCCAAUUUUAGGAAUUUGUAGGUGUAAGUGAACCUCCUCCUAAAUUCAACAGGACCAAUCUCACCAAUGGGGAGAAGACUUGCUGUCAUCCCAGAAAGUAAUCCUUGCACCUAGCCAUCCCCCCCAACAGUGAAAAUGGCGUCUACAGACUAUGGCUAUGAAAAGAGCCUUAAAAACCCUAAACCCCACCAUUCUCAUAGUCCUGACCUCCCAAAGCCGCCACCUCAACAGCUUUGCCUCCGCCGGGCAACCCGAACCUGACAGCCCAUCUUCAUCCUUCACCUUUUCCUCUAGUGAAACUGCGCCCACCUCGAUAUCCAACAAAGACGACAAUAUAUACAUCAAAAACCCCAAAAAGACAGGAUCUUCUGUUACGAUGCCGAUUUCAUUCAUGACUGGGUCGAUCGUCGGUGGAAGGUUUUACGAAAAGUUGACUACUAGAGAUGCUAAUGAUGGAAAUAGAUGGAAUGUUAUGUUAGAUUAUCGAACCCUAAAAACUCCUUCAAAGAGACCUCUCAAUUGUUCAACUUUAGCUCUUGCUAAAGCCAUUGCUGCUGAAUGGGAGUUUCAGGUGCUCUCCUAUUACGUUUGGAUCUAUUCCUGUAUCUUUCUGUUGGCCAUCUCCUUAGAAAUGGACAAUGAUCUGGUUUAAAAUCUUAAGCUAUUAUAAAGAAACCACAAGUAUUUAUUUAAAUUUAGCAUUCAACACUUUAUUUGCAUAUGUUUAUUUGUCUGUGUUUAUAUGUUUAGAGAGAUAUGGAUGGUUUUUCAUUUGCAUCAGCCCAGAUUAGUUUUCUCCAUAAGUGCGGUUUCUUUGUAAAAUUGAUGGUUCUUUAUUUUUGGAUUUUUGGUUAAUUUAAUUGGUUAUUGUUGAAAUUGAAUUGUACUGGCAUGAUUGGACCUUCUAUGUAAAAAUUUAACUAGUGUAAUGACAAAACAGUGAGUAAAAGAGUUCUUUUACCCUUACUUCAUGCUGUGUAGCAUGGGUUUCUCUAGUAACGACAGAUGAUUGCCUUUUAUUUUAAUUUUCGGGAUAGAAUCCAUAUAUUCCUAACCUUUUCAGGGUAAAUUUUAUCAGUUGUUAGAUGAUGUUCGUCCAUCUUCUAUGCAUUAUUGUGUUAUAUGGCUUCAAUCCGCUGUAGCUUGAGUUUUAGUUGUAUCUUUAUUUUUCAAUUUUCAUUUUAUAAACUUGGGUUAAAGUUUGAGUGCUAAGUGGAAUUUGUAAUGAAGUUUUUGUGUUCAUAGCAAAUAGAUGGAAUCAGACCAUCUACAAUGCCUCUUAUGAAACUUACAUGCACCGCAUUGGAAAGAGUGCCACUUACUCGGUACAAAAUUAUCGAAUAUUUGAUGAAAAAAUUCCGUCAAGAUUUGGUUCUGCCGUGCUCCAAGAGACAGUGAUCUAACAAGCAAUGUUCUAGGUAUGCAUUUUUUUUAAGUAUUACCCCACUAUCUUCAAAUGUCUCUGGUAUAAUGAGUUUGGCAAAUAACUUCUUGCGUAAUGUGAUUUGAUCAUAUAUUAAUAAGUUUCAGGAUUCUGGCAUCACUGCAAGUGCAAGAGGGUUUCAUACUGUUAUUUGGGUGUGUUAAUUGGAAACUUGAUGUAUGUUAUCUUUCUUAUGCCCACUUCACUCAUUCAUUGGAGAGUUGAGAGAUCUAUGGCCAUUUCUUGUGAUUGAUUUUACGUAGGCUUGUAGGCAAUAGAAAAACUAAAAUGGAACAAAUGAUAUUAGCUAUUAAUAAUUUUUCCUCAAAGUGGUGACUGAAAAUCAAAGAAUGAAUGGCUCAUCCAACUAGAAGCUUGUAAAGAAAAGUUAAUGAUCAAGUUAAAGAGAUUCAAGCUAUUAAGCUGUCAAUCCAAUCUAGGAGGGCCCAGCCCAAUGAAUACUCGUGCUGGAUUUCUUGCUAGCCAAGCAUUUAAUCUUGAUAAAAUGCCAAAAAAAUUCUCUUGCAAAUUUUACACUUAAAAGUCACGUUAAAGUUGACUCUACAAAGUAUUCGUUUCUCAGUUUUCUCAUAACAUCUUUCAUUUGAGUUUUGCUAAUUGAGAUCCGAUUAAUGAACUUUAUAUCACAAGCAUGCAUCUCAUUUAGAACCCUUUACAAGAAAAGAUGAAUGGGCAGGAUUUAGUGUUGCUGUAAUGUUACCUAUUUGCAAAUUGUUCAACAUGAGUGCGACAUUUCUAUAUGAAUUUCAUUGGUGUGAAUGCAAUUUAGACAGAACAUCAUUAAAGAGAGAUAAUGGGAUACACUUGUCAAGAGAUACAUCGAAUAAAAAGAAACUAUUGUAAUAUGUGGCUCAUAUAAAGUUGAACACAUGUUUGCCAGAAUAAAUAGACCGAUUCCGGAGCGGAGAGCAUUGGACUGGAUGAAAUGGAAAUUAUAAUGGAACCCAAGUCUUAAUAGCACUAAUUUGGUGGUAAAGAUUUUCCCCACCCAGAAAUUGAAAUAUGGAUGUAAGAUGUGCAUUGAGCGCACCACAUGCCUAGGUCCAAACGAAUAAAAUUGUCUUGUGUAACAGAAAUGAAACGGUUGCUGCAAGCAAGGCUGUACAUUUUGCUUUGAGUGCGCUCCAUUUCUAUUACCGAACUUAAUUAUUAAUAUGUGAUCUACCAAAAAUUUUCUAUGGUCAGAUUUUUAUCGAACCAUCUUCUUGUGAAAGUACGGAAAAAGUCACACCCUAAAAAUUAAAAAGCUAAGCUAAUGAACAGGCCUCUAUAUUUCUGAGCUACAUUUGAUACAAGAUGGAAGCUUUUUCAAUGGAAUGAGACAUUCAAUACCUCUUUUGAGUUGAAAAUUGAUGCGCGUUAAGUUUUUACAUUUGUGUUGUUUUUUGUUUCUAGUUUUUGUUUAUUUUGCUAAUAUAUUGAUUUAUUUAUGUGCAAAACUUUGCAGAACGCCAAGUGGAGAAGCUUGAUCCUUUACUCAAUUGGGUUGAGUCAGAAUUUGGUUUUAAGCCUAUUGUAUAUUCUAGGUUUUUUGGUGGCAAACAGGAGGAAGGUCUGGUUGAUACCAUUGAGAACCUUCUUAAAAAGACAGAUGAUUAUGAGUUGGCGACAAUUGAUGCAAUUGCUGCUUCUGCGCAUUCGUUAGUCAUUGCACUUGGAAUCUUUUGUGGUCGAUUGGACAUAGAACAGGCAAUUGAGUUGAUCAGAUUGGAGGAAGAUUUACAGGUUCUUGAUCGUGUUACAUUCCCCCUUAACUUUCCAAAACACAAGGGAAAGCAUAAAAAAACACAUAAAAUGAUUAUUAUGUCAAACAGUAUUGCUAGAAUCUAAACCCACUCUUGAUACUGUAAAUUUGUUGUUCUUUUGCAGGUUGACCGGUGGGGUUUAGUUGAAGGCGGCCACGAUGUUGAUACUGCUGAUCUUCGAGUACAAGUCUCAGCUGCUACAGUGUUUAUCGGACUUUCAAGGAAGAUUAGUUACUGACUAUUUUCUUUAACUUUGAUUAGUUAUAACAUGAGAAUAAGCUUUCCCAUUUUGCUCAUAGCAAUACUUCCCCUUUGUUUGUAACUUUCCAAUGCACUUAGCACAGAUAUUUGGCAUAUAUUGUGGCAUUUUUACUAAUUUGAAUUUUUGUAUCAACCAGUGUGUUUCGAAUGCAUUGUUGUGACUUUUCAGGGAAUACUUGGUCGUCUUAUAUGAAUCAAUUAUUAUAGGAUGAACAACUGCACAUGCGCAUGUAGUAAUUACAUUAAAAACUAUAAUUGUGAGAUGAUUGAGAUAUUUUGUAAUUAUUUUUUAGGUUAAUCAUUGGGUAUUAAAUAUAUAUAGACUUGUACACCAUGCCACCUAAAUAUGUCUGGUGCUCAAAGGAGAAAAAAGAAAUGGAAUAAAAUUGCAUUAACUCAAUGUUAAGCAGGGGAUAUUGACAAUUAUUUUAAAAGCAAUAAUGUGAAUGCGUUGGAUGAGGAUGAAAUGGAGAUUCUACCUGCCUGUGUUAAUAAAGUAGAUGAUGAGGAAGGAUGAAUAAGUGAGUCAAUCUCCUUGUGUUAAUGAAAUAGAUGACAAGGAAGAAGAAGUGAUGAAAUCUGUCUGUGUUAACGAAAUAGAUGAUAAAUAAAAAAGGGUUGUUUUUCUCUAAAUUUGGAUCAUACUGGGAAUAGAAAAAUCUUUGAUCAAAGAACAAGGAAUUACAUAGUUGAAAUAGGUUCAGAAAGAGUAGAUGACAUCUCGUUUCUGAAAGAUUGUACAAAUAGACAUUUUGAUUUUUCACAAUAUAAGCGAUUAAUACUAAUAGGGCAAAUAAUUGAUAGAAGAUGGCUAGUAUAUUCAGUGUCAUACAUGAUCUUCUGCUUUUAUGGCAAGUUGCUUAAAAUGUCAAAAAAUGUGACCAAAGUUGGCCAACUGGGUAAUGAUGGAUUCGAAGAUUUGCAUAAUUUUCAUCCGUCUAUUACAAACACAUGAAGGAAAUGGGGAGCAUUUACAUUGCAUGACUAGUUGGAUUGAAUUGGAAAAUAGAUUUUGCACAAAAACUACAAUUGGCGUUCAAUUAUUGAACGAUGAAGUAAGAGAAUAUUGGAGAUAUGUUAUAUUUAUUAACAAAGACAAUCGCUAUUAUAAAACGACUUGCCAAAAGCACAUUGCCAUUUCAAGGAGAUGAUGAAAGGUUACAUGUUGAGAAUAAUGACCUAUUUUUACAAAUGGUAGAAAUGAUUAAUAAGUUUGAUUCAGUAAUGCAAGAAAACUUUUAGUAUGCUAAAGCAUGAGAGAUUCAAUAUACAUAUUUUAGCAAAAAAAAUUCAAAAUGAGUUGAUACAAUUGUUGGCUAAUGAGGUGAGAAGUUCAAUUGUCAAAAAAGUUAAACAUGCAAAAUAUUUUUCAUUUAUACUUGAUUCUAUUCCAGAUACAAGUCACGAUGAGCAAAUGUCUUUAAUAGUACGAUUUGUAGGUGAUUCAGCAAACUUACCUAUUAUUGAACAUUGGCUUGAAUUUUUGAAGGUAGACGACACAAUAGGACUUGAAAUUGAAAUUAAGUUUCAAAAGAUUUUGAUCAAAUUUGAUCUGGAUAUUGAUGACAUUAAAGGGCGAGAGUAUGACAACAAAUCAACACAUCGUUCUCCUCUUGUACCAAGUGAUGAAAAUUUUUCAAAAAUAAUGUACAAGGUUUUUAACAAUAAAGUUGUUACUAACAAGUUGGGAAAGUCAUGUUGAGAGUGUGAAGCCUAUAGUGGAGCAAAUUGCAAAAAUAAAAUAUGCUUUACUUGAUUUGGCAGAAAGUAACUAAGAUCCUAAAGUGAAGAGUGCAAUCAAGUUGAUAGCAACAUAUGAACUUUAGAAUGUUGAGUUCUUGCUUAGCAUGAUAAUUUGGUACAUGUUGUUGCAUGCAAUCAAUAUUGUAAGUAAAUUUCUUCAAACUGGAUCCGUAGAAAUCAUGUUAUCGUCCUCUUGUAAGGACUUGUUUCAUUGCUUGAAGAUUAUAGAAAAUUGAAUUUGAUAUUGCCAUGGAUUAAUUGACAAAAAAAGGCAAGUUGUAUUUACAGAAAAAACAUGUAAUUUGAGGAGAAAAGCAAUUUGAUGAAUGCGGGAAUGAUGAGGAAAAGUAAUCAACCGAAAAAUCUUUUAGAGUUGAAUUUUUUAUUUUUUUAAUAAUUGAGCAAACUCUAUCUUCUUUACGGACUCGAUUUGAACAAUUCAAACAAUAUGAUGGCACAUUUGAAUUUUUGUUUAAUUUGAAGAGGUUAAGGGACACAACUUUUUCAAGUUUUUUGAACUCUUGUAUGAAUCUUGAGAAACAUUCGAAGCAUAAUGGACGUUCAGACACCGUUGGAGAUGGCAGUUACAAGUUUUGAGAUAUUAUAUACCAAGUGAAGCAACAAGAGAAAUUGAAGUGUUUAUUUAAAGGCAUUGAAUGUUUGUUUGCUAAAUGCUUAUAUUGCUUAUAAAAUUUUGUUAACCAUAUCAGUUAUUUUUGUAUCUGUAGAGAGAAGUUUCUUAAAAUUGAAAUUGUUCAAAUCCUAUCUCUGAUCAACUAUGUCACAAGAAAGAUUGAAUGGAUUGUCUAUGUUAUCAAUAGAGAAAGAAAUGGUUGAGCAGCUAACUUAUUCAGAUUUGAUUAAUAUUUUUGCCUCUAAAACAGUAAGGGAAAUAGUAUUUAACUAAUUGUUUGAAAAAUUGUUAGUUUAAUUGUUAGUUUUGUUAUCUUAUAAUAUAAACAUUUUCUAUAAUAUAUUUAUUUGUUGUUUUAAUGUUAAGUUUUUAAAUUGGCAAUAGGUUGCAUAAUAUACCAUUAAAUUUUGCACUUACGUUGAUUUCAUCGAGAUGACUAAUUUAUUGACUUCGCCUCGGGCUUUGAAAAUCACAGGACCAGUCCUAAGGGGUCGAGGACAAGGACGACUAUUUAUGGCUAAAUCAUCCACCAGAUUUAAAAAAGGAAAACAUAGAAUAUUUCCCAUUAAUAAAAUUGAGCAAGAAUUUCAACUCCCAUUCAAAAUAUAUUACCAAUAAUAUUUUUUGGAGGAAAAAGGAGGAAAAGGUAAUGCAACAAUCAUACAAUUCUAAUCAAAUGAGAGACUAAAGGAAAAAAGUUUACCUCAACAAUCAGGAAUUCAAAUUGAGAUGUUCUAAUGCGACAAACACUCAAACUGGGCUACUCUAAUUUACCUCAACAUUAAGGAAUUCAAGGCAAAUAAUUAAAACCCAAUUCAAAAAGGGAAAUGAGUUAAGAUGGCCACCGUUCAUAAGAAAUUUGUACAAAGAGCCUUUGACCGAAAUUGUCAAAAUAAAAGAAAUUUUAAUUAUUUAAAACAGUCAAAAGACACUUUUACCCUUAUGUUGUAAAAUGAGAUUGAAGAAGAAUUGGAGAUUUUCUUUUCAUUCAUUCACACUUGAAAACCUCCCCAAACCUCUUCAUUCUCCAAAUUCAAAAUCCUCUUCUCCUUCCAAUUUACCUCCUUCGACAUUUAACCGUUCUCCUUCAAGUCUAAAGCUAUCUCUUCUCCUUCUCCUUCAAAAUUUCACAGAUUCUCAAGUCAAGGGUAAGAGAGAGGUGCUCUCAACUCCAAUAAGAGAAGGUUCCACUAGAGUGCCUUUGAUUUCUUGAGUUCUUGUGUGUUUUUGUCUUAGAUUUAAAAUCUCUUAUUCCAUUUGGAAUUUUUAAAACUUAUUAUUUUGUUUAGAUAGAUUUAUAAAAGUUUCAGUUGGUAUUCGACUAUUUCCAGUCAGUGGUUUACAGCUCUUGGGUGGUUUGAUCAGUUCCAGUUCUGCAUUCCAGGGUGAGAUUCGGUCAGCAUUUGCUUGGGUGUUUAGUUCGUAUUUCUGUGGAUUGCAAGGAGUUAGCUUCAAUGGAUCAGGUUUGGAAUUGUGAUUGUUUGGCCUUUCUCUUCCGCGAACAAGUUUAUUUGUAUAUGUAUGCUAAUUUAUGAAUUGAUGAUGAUUUGUGAAAGUUUUAACACUAUUUUUUUGUUGAAUAUUGGGUGUGAUUAAUUAGCUACUGAAAAUUCAAUCGAGUUGAUUAUAUUACUCCCUAUUAUAUAGGUUUGAAUUUUGUUGAUUAGUGAAGUUGAAUAUAUAUUUUCUAUAUUAUAUUAUUCAAAUGUUUAACUUGCACCAGAAAAUUGCAUUGUAGUAGAAUAUUGAGUUUUUACUUAAAUCAUCAAAGCAAGGAGCUUCGAUUGUUAACUACUCUUUAAGCCACCGUCUCUAAGUAUCAAAAUAAGAAACUAUAAGAAUCAAUUGCAUAUCAGAACAAUUUCGAAAUAAAAGAAACACGAAUUUCCCCAUGAUUUCACAUGACAAGUGCAGUAUUUAAGAGCAUAUGUAGACCAUGAUAAAAUAGUGAAAAUAGACAAAGGAUAAAGACAGGAAAUGGUCAUUUACAGUGAAUUAAUACCAUUCCAAUGGAGCUGGGAAUUGUGAGGGAGAAUUUGUGGUCAUAGUUAUAAUAUUUGGUCAAAAGAUCUGUAACAAAACUAAGUACCUUACAGUCAAUAGGAACAGAUACUAAUUUUGAUCAUAAUAAAGGGUCUUAUAAACACAUCAAUGUGGGAGAGUCCAUAAACCAAGAAAGGAAAUUUAAAAAGCCAGUUGCAAGAGAAUAACAUUUUUGAUAAUAUAUUUGAAAAGGACAAUACAUAAUUGAGAUAGUAAAUCUUCAAAUGAGAGCAAUAACACACACCUUCAAACACCUACAAUUCAGGAGUUGUUGCAACUCUCAGAGAUUGGAAAAAA